Molecule: long non-coding RNA, 46078 nt
Filed under: Malus domestica (apple)
Lineage: Eukaryota; Viridiplantae; Streptophyta; Magnoliopsida; Rosales; Rosaceae
Source: RNAcentral
UGCCAUAGCUAUUCAGUUAAGGGAAAUUACUGUUCAUUAAAGGCAAUUACUGUUCACUGGAGGCUAUUCAAUAGGAAGUUGCCCUAGGAGGUCUUGAUACACUGGACUUGCUCUAAUAUCAACUGAAUUUUCAAUUUUUAACUUUUACCAUUGGACUCUCUUAAUUGUUGGAAUUUACGACCUAAGUUAUUUUAUUUUUCUGUUAAAACAUGUCAUGUGCCCCUCACGUGGAGAGAUAUUUUUGUCAAUUCACUCCCUAGGGCUCGUUGGAAUCAAUUUGUCCAAAGCCAAAAGGUUUUUUUUUUUUUUUUUUUUAUAGCGGCAUUGGAGUCAAGUCAUGAAGAGGAAUGGAGAAGUUGAUUUUGGAAAGGGUUGUUGAAGAAUUGAAGUGAAAAUUAUGCAAAAAUAUAGUCUUUCAUUUAUAUUGAGUUUUCAAUUUUUUUUUGGUAGAUCAGCAAGUGGGUGUGUGGUUCAUCUUAAUUUAUUCAGAUAUUAAUUUUUCAAACUCUUUAUGAGGGAAUUUCUGAAUUGGGGCUAUAUAGCCCCCAAUUUUAGAGCCCUACAAAGACAUGUUUUAAUAGCAAAAUAGAUGGAAAGUAAUCUAGGUGGUAGAUUCCAACAAUUAAGAAAAUUCAUGUGGUAAAAUAUAAAAACUCAAAGUUCAAGUGAUAUUUAUUGCACAUGCUUACAAGUUCAUAUGGUACUUGCACAAAAAAUAAAUUAUUGGAUGUACAAUAUUUGUCUAUAAAGUGACGUUAUUAAAAAUAAAACAACACAUGAAAAUCCCUCCCAUUGACCCUUUGAACUCGUGAUUUUUAUUAGACUAAUAAAACUAAAGUCAUAAGAUAUCUAUACUAAUGAAUAAAACACUCAUUGUCAACUAAAAACUUAUGAAAUUACUAGUUUAAUCCUCUAAUUAAAACAGAACAUGAAUAAGAAAUAUGAGACAUAAAUGAAAUUUCACAAAACCAAAUUUUGUUGUUUUUUUUUCUUUUCAAAGUCUCAUCUACAUGUAAUCCUAACAUAUCUCUAAUUAAAAAAACAAAAAACCAAAAAAAGCUUCCCACUCCCACAUUCUUUAUCACUCUCUUCCUCUCUCCUUCUAUUUCAAAAACAAAAGUAAAAAAAUUUCUCACACACUUUGUGUGUGCCCAUAUGCUAGUACUAUAUAAAUAGAAGACACGAGUGUUUUGAAAUGCACCAACGACCGACCGAGUUAGCAAGAAUUGAACCUAAAUUGAUGCCAAUUUUAACACCUAGAACCUUAAAAGGAAUUAUGUAAGCAAGCAACAAUGAGAGACUAAAAAGUAGGGAGACAAGUAUUGUAUCAAAUUCACCUAAAUGACUCUAUCUCUAACAUCUUAUAGCAUACUUAUUGUAAGAUUUUUUCUUUUCUUUAUAAAAAAAGAGAAAUAUUUAGUGGCUUUGUCACGGCAAUCACUCUUUCAAAUAUCAAGAAAACUCACAGAGUCUUUUUAACUACUUCUAAUUAUCAUCGUGUAAUUCAUCAACAUCAUUAUAUUAACUAAAACAAAUUAAUAUUAACAAAACGUGGAACACAUUCAUGUCUUGGGCUAUAGUGUCAUGGCAUGAGAUUUGGGAAAAGGAUCCUCACCGGAUUCUUUUCCUAGAGAUCCUAGUGAUCUCAUGAUUUCACUUGUUCAUCGUAUAUCGUACGAUCAGUUUUCGUCAAGUACUAUUCAUACUUAAUUUUAAAUUUUGAAAUGAUUUCUGAUCACACAAUAUACGAUAAACGGAUGAGAUUACAGAAUCCCUAAUAACCCUAAGAAAAUGAUCCGACUAAGAUGCUUUUCCAUGAGAUUUGGGUGAUGAUGUGACCUCAUUCUACUUUACAGGACACAAAAGAAAAAGGAAAAAAUUUAAAAAAAAAUUAUCUUCUAUUCACAAAAAGGACCAUUCCCACUAUUGACGUACGGGAACAUUUCCGUGAAUUAAACAGCAGCGCUCCAUUAACCCCGAUUAUCUAGGCUGCCCCACAAUUAACGCCCCUUAAACGUUAUUAAACGCCCCCCACCUCCUUCUUCUUCUUCUUCUUACAAGUCGCCGAAGCGGUCUUACUCAAUCCAAUAAGGCGGCAAAACCCCCCAAUUCAAUGGCGGCGCUUUCUCUCUCCUCCAUUGUCCCACCUGCCCUCUCCAGGUCGGUUCCUCUCCCUCUCAUUGCACUACCUUUCUGCUUUCUGCAAGUCGAAUUUCCAGUAUUUCACCGUUGGAGGAACCCUAAUCGUCUGAACCCUUAUCGGAUUUUGCUAAUCCGUUAAUGUGAUCGUCAAUUUUUGAUCUUUUGUUCUGAAUUGAAUUGAACGGCAUCGUUUUCAGGUGAUAUAUCUGCUUCAGCUUUGUUCGCGAGGGGGAUUUCUUUUGGCAAUGGAAGAGAAGGGGCAGCUCAAGCGAGCCGUCAUUGAUACAACGGCAGGUUUAAUCGCCGGCGGAAUAUCGCGAACGGUUACUUCGCCGCUAGAUGUUAUUAAAAUUAGAUUCCAGGUUCGUGAAAGUUUUGAAAUUUUUGCCUUUAUCUUUAUCUGUAAUGGGGUUAGACUGCGAAAUUUUAUUGACAUCGUGGUGAAGUUUGUAAGUUUUUGCAAUUUCUGAGCUUUGCAUUUUUUUCCAAUGUAGAAAAUUCAUAACAUUCUUACAGUACAGUACAAGUAAUGAUAUGAAUUGUUAUUGUUUUCAAGUUUAAUGGAUUCCUACAUGUAUUGACUUGGUGUGAAAUCGUGUUUGUUUUUGUUGUUGCGUAAAUUUCGUGGGUUUUGAGAAUGUUUAUCGAUUCGGUGUUUGGGUUUUAUGCAUGAUGCUUAUCUGCAUAUGCAUCUUAAAGGCUGGUGGUGGAAUGAAAAAUCUUUGUAUUUGUUUUGGUUGAUAGGUUCAACUCGAGCCCACGACGUCAUGGGCUUUGGUUCGAAGAAAUUUGUCUGAACCAUCAAAAUAUACUGGGAUGUUUCAAGCAACAAGGGAUAUCUUCAGAGAGGAAGGCUUACGGGUACAGUGACACAAUUUAUGUUCACGGAGAAUGUAAAUUACUAUUUAGUUUUUCUUGUGGCAUUCUGUAGAAGCCAUUUCUGGUGGUUUUUUAUGGUUCAGUUUUGCAAGAACAUUAAAAUUUUCCCGAGAUCUUAUUAUGAGAAUUUCUUAUGGCAGGGUUUUUGGCGUGGAAAUGUCCCAGCUUUACUUAUGGUUAUGCCGUAUACUGCGAUACAAUUUACGGUGUUACACAAGUUGAAAACAUUUGCUGCUGGUUCUUCCAAAACAGGUACUUUGAGAAUAGUCCUUAUGUGCACUCUUUAUUUCACUUACGCGCUCAUUUCAAUAGGACUUGAUACAUUUAAGGGUAUGACAACUCGGACCCUAUAUUUGUUUAAAACCCUUGGAAAAUAGGCAAACACAGUUGGACACCUGCCUGCAUCUGAAAUCUAUGUUUGUGUCCAUGAAACAUAGGUCUGAACUCUGAAUUAAAAGUUGUAUUAUGUGGCUUCUUUUAAGUAAAGGUAUAAAUUGAAUAUGGUUUGAUCUUCUGAUUCUUCUUUCAUUAUUUGUAGCUCCAGUAGCUUCAGCGUAGGACAUUUGACUUUGACUUCUUUAUUUCUCUUAAAUUCUCUUUCAAAUUGGUUAUCAAGACCUGAAUUUGUGCUAAAGGAACUUGGGUUGUAAGCUGGAUGUCAGAUUGUAAUGUCCAUCUCUAAUAAAAGUCUAGGUUUAUUGCUCUGUUGUUUAUUUGAAUUUUGCAAUGAGGAUUUUGCUGAUAGAGGUACCAUGUUCAGUUUAAGUACUCUAUAUGUAAUGUUUACGACUUUAGAGCUAUGACCACUUUGGAUGUGUUUUUUUUUUCUAAUACCUCAAAUUUCUUGUAUGUCCUGAUCAUUGUUUGCUCUGAUGCAGAGGAUCACAUUCAUUUGAGCCCCUAUUUGUCUUACGUCAGCGGAGCAUUAGCGGGUUGUGCAGCUACUGUCGGCUCAUAUCCAUUUGAUCUUCUAAGAACCUUAUUAGCUUCACAGGGCGAACCUAAGGUAUAGGUACAUGGGUUGACUUUUUGGUGUGGUGCGUGCGUGUGAUUGUAAAUUAACUUUCAAACUGUUCUGCGCCAUGUAUAGCUAUACUAGUCUGAGGAGUAGGAAUCAAUGUUAGAUCCAUGUUAUUCUUCAUAAAAUUCUUUAAAGUUACAAAAGUUAUGCAUCUGACAGCAUAAGCUAUCCUUUAUGUAAUCGGUAGCUUUGAAAUGCUUAAUAUACUAAUAAAUUAAUGUUGAAUUUUAUCAGGCCAUCUUUAGAAUUAGUUUCUGCAUAAACACCAAUUUGUGAAGAGUUCUUUGGCAUAAUAGAGCCUAACUCACAUUGUUCUUCAUUUAGGUGUAUCCAAAUAUGAGGUCUGCGUUGGUUGAAAUAGUUAAAAAUCGUGGCUUUCGAGGGUUGUAUGCUGGACUGUCGCCAACACUUGUUGAGAUUAUACCCUAUGCAGGCUUGCAAUUUGGUACCUAUGACACGUUUAAGCGCUGGACCAUGGUAAGCUUCUGGUUCUGCUCUAUCAUUUACUUUUUUUGUGUUUUUACCUAAAUAUUUGUAUUUCUCUGUCUCAUGAUGGGAAGAUUUCCGUCAGUUUUGGAAAUCAAUAUAUAGUUGUUUUGGUUGAAAAUAUCUGUCAUGUGGUCUCACAGGGAAUUGAACCACAUUGGCUAGUUUUGCAGGGGGCUUGUAGCUCAAGUAGUUUAGACCAUUCACCCCUGCACUUGAGGUCCUAGGUUCAGUUUUCCCCUCCCCCACUCGCUUGUGUAAAAAUAACCUGACAUGUUUAGAUAUGUGAAUUGAAAUAAUCAAAGAAAAGGGCCCACACCCAGCAAAGAGCAAGAUCUUUUGUUGGAAGUGAAUUGGAUACAAUUGUCCUUCCAAUAUAUGUUUGUGUGUUGUGAGAAGGUUUUCUUGGAUUGAGAAAUGCAAUUCAUAUCUGAAAAAAGUACGUGAUCUCACAUUUUAUUGUGUCCAUUUUAGGCGUGGAACCGGUACAGAUCCUCUAAUAUAAACCCGCACGGUAGAGAAGAUGGUCUCUCGAGCUUUCAGCUUUUCCUCUGUGGUAUAGCAGCCGGGACAUGUGCCAAACUUGUCUGUCAUCCACUUGAUGUGGUCAAGAAAAGAUUCCAGGUAGAUAUUUAAACGUCCCGAGCUCCACUAGCAUUACUGGAAAUUUCAGUUCAUCUGGACUCUAGUGUGUUAUUUAACCAUCUUUCCGCAUGAAUACAAGGGAAGAAAAAUGUGAAUGAAAAUGCUUCCAUGUCAAUGCAAUGAUGGUUGGUCAUAUGAAUCCUGUUUUCCCGCCCCUUGCAGGUUGAAGGACUACAGAGGCACCCAAGAUAUGGGAAACCAGUAGAGCACCGUGCUUAUAGCAACAUGUAUGACGCCUUGCGAAGAAUAUUGCAGAUGGAGGGCUGGGCUGGUCUCUAUAAGGGAAUAGUCCCAUCAACCGUCAAAGCUGCACCUGCCGGUGCAGUGACAUUUGUGGCAUAUGAAUAUACAUCAGAUUGGUUAGAGUCCAGAUUGACUUGAAUCUAACUGUUCCCUAAUAGUUUCAAAUAUUAUUUUUGCAUGAUGAGAUUCUUUUGUCCUUGGAAACCUUAGAAAACCCUCGUCAAAGGAACCGAAAGGAGGGACCCUAUUUUAGCCGCCCUUACAGGCCAUAAGAUUGUAACUAGACAGCAAAAUGUUUGAAGAUAGAAGUUGAGAUUUAGAGCACCAUAAAUUUUUGUAUCAGCAUGUUUCAAAUGAUAUUAUCGUCUCCUCUCUUGGAAAAAAUCUGGUUACCGUAUUUACAUCCUCUACAUAUUUUUGUGGUCGAAGUACCGUUACGUUCGCACUCAUAUCUCGAAACAGAAUGGACUUAUAAAUCCCAUAACCACAACUAAACAUGAAUUUCUCCGACAUGUUACAGAUUCUCAGUUGUGUUGCAAUCAAAAUGCCUCAAACACUCGGUACAAAAUUUCCGACAUGUUACAGAUUUCGGAAAUGUAUAAAAUCUCCAAAUCACAGGAUUCACAUUCAAACUUGUAUGCGAGCCAACGUUAUUCAACGAAAAAUCCAAUUAGUAGUGAAGGGGAGUAUCGAUAGAAGCUAUCUAUUUGUGCCUUCUUCAGCGAUUGUUGUUCUGUUUGCCACUGCCAUCCUCCGGAGGCAGUGCUACAAACUGCAAGAUCCUCCGAACCUCAGCAACAUCAACCCGGAACUUCUCAGCAAUUUGGUCCGGCUCCAUGCGGCCAUUGUGAUCCUCGGCCUUGCCCUGAUGCAGCAGAAUAAUGUGGCGCAGCUGUGCCACAUUCAGAGUUCCCGGCGGAGCAGGCCUCUCCUCAUAACUCCCGGAAUCUGGCUUCGUAUCCCUCAGUUUAGGUAGAGGCCUCUUAUACUUGUCCACCACAUUUGCCUGUACAAUGAUCCCAAAAUACACAUUUACAACAGUACAAUACAAUGUCUUAAAUUCAAACCGUGGCUAGCUAGUUUAUUUGCUAAAAGUGCUUAUGAGCGGAAGUGCUUUCUACGUUAUUCCCAAACGGCGAAACGAAAUGAAAAAACCAAACUUCGAAAAACUGACCUCGCCCAUCUCAAAUUUGCCUCCGGGCUUUGCUUUGAUUCUACCCACCAUUUGAUUGAGCAUGGCGUCGUAAUUUGGAUCUCGUUCUUCGAGCACAUUUUCGACUGCUUCCACGGCUCCUCCUGUUCCUGCACUGCCAUCUGAAACCAACAAACCACAUUCGAAACGACGCCGUAAAUUAACUGAACUGAGCUGAGGAAAAAUGUGCGAGAAAAGGCAAUAGACAAAAGAAAGGCGGCAACUUUUAUGUACCAGAAUCAAUAGCGCCGCCGGUCUUGGAGAUCUCCGCCCGUUCGGGGGGAACCAGAGGAGGCCGCUUAUCGACGACGACGGUCUUCGGUUUGGACGACGCCGUUUCGACGGUCGAAGAGGGUCGCGUUCUUCCAGCAGCUCGGCGCAGCGCCUGACCCAUUGUGCCAGUCGUGCUUUCUAUUUUCUAAUUUUCCCCAAAUCAACCAACAAAUAAACUCCGUUAAAUAUGCAGAUAGAUUAAAAUACAAAAAACCCUUUUCAAUUUUUAGGGUUUGGUGGGAAUAUUGGAAGAGGAGGUGGGAGAGGAGGAACAAGAAGACGAUGGGAGCACUACACAGUGGAGAGUGGCGCGUGUUGCUCUCGUGUCCUGUUGUCCUACACGAGAUAGCAAAUACCGAUGGGGCCCAUUUCCUUUACUUUUAUUAAUUUUAAUUUAUGAGAGUUUUUUUUUUUUUUUUUUUGGUCAAUUAUGAGAGUUUUGUUUUAUAAACACACUUUUUAUUUUUGUUUUUAAAAUAGAAAGAUAAAGAAAGAGAGAGAAUGUGGGAGUAGGAAGUUUUUUUUUUUUUUAACAUGUAGGUGAGGUUUUGAAAAAAAAAAUUUGAUUGUGUGAAAUUACAUUUCUGCCUUAUAUUUUUUAUUUAUGUUCUGUUUUAAUUAGAGGGUUGAACUGGUAAUUUCAUAGGAUUUGAUUGACAAUGAGUGUUUUAUUAAUUAGUAGAGAUUAUCUGCUAUGAUAAGCAUUAAUUAUAAGUUAUAACUCUAAAUUUUUUGUCGGAAAAAUGAUACAAUACAUCAACAACAACAACAACAACAACAACAAAGCCUUUUCCCACUAAGUGGGGUCGGCUAUAUGAAUCCUAGAACGCCAUUGCGCUCGGUUUUGUGUCAUGUCCUCCGUUAGAUCCAAGUACUCUAAGUCUUUUCUUAGAGUCUCUUCCAAAGUUGUCAUAAGUCUUCCUCUACCCCUUCGGCCCUGAACCUCUGUCCCGUAGUCACAUCUUCGAACCGGAGCGUCAGUCGGCCUUCUUUGCACAUGUUCAAAAUCACCGGAGCCGAUUUUCUCUCAUCUUUCCUACAAUUUCGGCUACUCCUACUUUACCUCGGAUAUCCUCAUUCCCAAUCUUAUCCUUUCUCGUGUGCCCACACAUCCCACGAAGCAUCCUCAUCUCCGCUACACCCAUUUUGUGUACGUGUUGAUGCUUCACCACCCAACAUUCUGUGCCAUACAACAUCGCUAGCCUUAUUGCCGUCCUAUAAAAUUUUCCCUUGAGCUUCAGUGGCCUACGACGGUCAACACGCCGGAUGCACUCUUCCAUCCAUCCAGCUCGUAUUCUAUGGUUGAGAUCUCCAUCUAAUUCUCCGUACUCUUGCAAGAUAGAUCCUAGGUAGCAAAAACGAUCGCUUUUUGUGAUCUUCGCUAGAUUGCUCCGGUCAUUAGUGUGGAUAAGUAUAUAUAAAUGGAUAGAGAUAGGAAAGCAAACACAAGAUGUACGUGGUUCACCCAGAUUGGCUACGUCCACGGAAUAGAAGAGUUCUCAUUAAUUGUGAAGGGUUUACACAAGUACAUAGGUUCAAGCUCUCAUUUAGUGAGUACAAGUGAAUGAUUUAGUACAAAUGACAUUAGGAAAUAUUGUGGGAGAAUGAUCUCGUAAUCACGAAACUUCUAAGUAUCGGAGUGUGGUGUCGUCUUGACUUGCCUUAUCUGUCUCAUAGGUAGAUGUGGCAUCUUCUCUGGAAGUACUCUUCCUCCAUCCAGGGGUGGUAUCUUUAACUGGUGGAGAUGCACAAGGUAAUAUAUCAAUUUCACUUGAAGCUUACUUGUAGUUUCAGCCUUGGUCAAGCGCGAUACAAACCAUGUAGUAGUAGGAGUCCCCCAAGUCGCCGAGCUAGGGGGUCUGCUGAAAAGAGGUGACAGACAAGGUAAGCAAUCAGAGCUCCGACUGAUUGUUCACCUUCUCCCCAUCUUGCAGCAGCAUGAAGGAUAAAGAGAAGAAAAAUGAGAAGAGAUGAUAUGAGAUACUUUUGCUUUUGAAGAAGUAACUUUCCACAGGCUUAUUCUUGAACUGAGCUGGAGGGUUUUCUGGUUUCCUCCAGAGUAUAAGGCCGACUGAAGAAUUUGAGGGUCAAAACAAGUCCAUCAAAUCUAGAGUACGUUCCACCCUGCUGAUAUGGGAUACUUUUGCUUUUGACAGAGUAAUGAAUGUAUCGGCACGUGUGCUGUUACGCUUGUCUCCACAUGCUUCCUUGUAUCCUUCGCACUUGCCCUAUCUGUUCCUCAAGCAGAUGCGGAAUCUUCCCUGGAAACAUAAGAUGUUGAAGAUGAGUACUCGAGAGCAAUGCCAGGUAAGUAAUCAGGUAAGGGGUUCCAGGCAGUCAGUUCCUGGCUGGAAGCUUGAUUCCAAGUGCUGACUGAUUGCUCUCUUUCUCCUUGUCUUGCAGGUAAAAACAAGGCCAAAAAGAAAAGACAGGGAAAAAGCAUGAUAUGGGAUACUCUUGCUUUUAACCCUGAUGAUAUGAGAUAUUCUUGCUCUAGUAUAGCUUGUUUGCAGAGGUAUUAUCGGGGGGAAAGAAAGCUGAAUAUUUCGAAAGGCUUCGUUGGGAGUGCCCUCUCAGAUAUGAUGAAGGGUUGAGCAUUUUUGCAGGUCUGCCUGUCCGUUGGGGAUGGAGGUCGACAUAUAUAGGAGUCUCCCUAACAACAAGUAGUAAUGCUAUUCCUUUACCCUGCUUGGUCAUAGCACGGUAGUGGGAGCUGCCAGUUUCACAUGUUUUAACUCUGUCAGAGCACUUUGAAAAAGUGGUCUGUGGUAUCUGGCUCUCGAGAUUCGGAGAACGAUGCCUCUUCGAUUUUUGAGAAAGCAAUCAUGCUGGGGGUAUGACUCUCGAGAUUCGGAGAGCAGUGUCUCUUCGAUUUUUGAGGAAGUAAUCAUGUUGGGAGUCUGGCUCUCGAGAUUCGGAGGGUGGUGCCUCUUCGAUUUUGGAGCAAGCAAUCUUGUUGGGAGUGUUGUCUCGAAUGUGAGUAAAGGUUGGGCAUGUUUGCUAGUCUACCUUGCCACGAAGCACAAAGGUUGACACACAGGGACUUUCCAAUUAUCCAGCAAUGGUACUGUUCCUUUACCCUCUCUUCGAUUUUGAGAAAGUAGUCAUGUUGGGAGUCUGGCUCUCGAGAUUCGGAGGACGGUGCCUCUUCGAUUUUGGAGCAAGCAAUCUUAUUGGGAGUGUUUUUCUCGAAUGUGAGUAAAGGUUGGGCAUGUUUGCUAGUCUACCUUGCCACGAAGCACAGAGGUUGACACACAGGGACUUUCCAAUUAUCCAGCAGUGGUACUGUUCCUUUACAGUUGUGGGUAAUAAUAUGGUAGCUAGACCUUCAAAAUUUAUGUGUCUAAACUUUUGUUAGUGCUGUUUCUUUGCUAUUCUUUUACCUUUCUUGGUCAGAGCGAUGUAGUGGGAGCUGCAAGCUUCACGUGCUCAACUUUGGCAGAGAACUUUGGCAAAGUUAUUUGUGGUACCCAUGAGCUAUUGUUGCGUGUGGGAAGUGGGUGAUUGAACAGUAAGAUUCAUGUGCUUUCUACUUCACCAGAAGUCUUCGACAGAAUGCCCAUAAUUUCUGCAAAGCUGAGUGUGCGUGUGACAGGUGCUGACAAGGCUAGAAAAGUAGGUGCCUCUUCGAUUUCUGAGAUCGGCCCUCGUGGUCUCUGAGCAGCCCAGCUUUUGAGAAAGCGAGCGCCUCUUCGAUUGAUUCGGAGAACGAUGCCUCAUCGAUUUUUGAGAAAGCAAUCAUGCUGGGGGUCUGGCUCUCGAGAUUCGGGGAGCAGUGUCUCUUCGAUUUUUGAGAAAGUAAUCAUGUUGGGAGUCUGGCUCUCGAGAUUCGGAGGGCGGUGCCUCUUCGAUUUUGGAGCAAGCAAUCUUGUUGGGAGUGUUUUCUCGAAUGUGAGUAAAGGUUGGGCAUGUUUGCUAGUCUACCUUGCCACGAAGCACAGAGGUUGACACACAGGGACUUUCCAAUUAUCCAGCAAUGGUACUGUUCCUUUACCCUCUCUUCGAUUUUUAAGAAAGUAGUCAUGUUGGGAGUCUGGCUCUCGAGAUUCGGAGGACGGUGCCUCUUCGAUUUUGGAGCAAGCAAUCUUAUUGGGAGUGUUUUCUCGAAUGUGAGUAAAGGUUGGGCAUGUUUGCUAGUCUACCUUGCCACGAAGCACAGAGGUUGACACACAGGGACUUUCCAAUUAUCCAGCAGUGGUACUGUUCCUUUACCCUUGUGGGUAAUAAUAUGGUAGCUAGACCUUCAAAAUUUAUGGGUCUAAACUUUGUUAGUGCUGUUUCUUUGCUAUUCUUUUACCCUUCUUGGUCAGAGCGAUGUAGUGGGAGCUGCAAGCUUCACGUGCUCAACUUUGGCAGAGAACUUUGGCAAAGUUAUCUGUGGUACCCAUGAGCUAUUGUUGCGUGUGGGAAGUGGGUGAUUGAACAGUAAGAUUCAUGUGUUUUCUACUUCCCCAGAAGUCUUUGACAGAAUGCCCAUAAUUUCCGCAAAACUGAGUGUGCGUGUGACAGGUGCUGACAAGGCUGGAAAAGGCUGGAAAAGUAGGUGCCUCUUCGAUUUCUGAGAUCGGCCCUCGUGGUCUCUGGGGAGCCCAGCUUUUGAGAAAGCGAGCGCCUCUUCGAUUUUUGAGAUCGGCCUUCGUGGUCUUUGAGCAGCCCAACUUUUGAGAAAGCAAACGCCUCUUCGAUUUCUGAGAUCAACCCUCGUGAUCUCUAAGCAGCCCAGCUUUUGAGAAAGCAAACGCCUCUUCGAUUUCUGAGCAGGCGCCUCUUCGAUUUCUGAAGCUUCGUCGAGUGCAGAUUUUUAUAGGGGCUGGCAUUAAGUUCCAAAGCACACUUGAAUCUCCACCAGUAGAAGCUUCAUUCUUGCACUUCUAAGAUCUUGAUUUGUCCGACCUCUUCUCUCUUCAACACCUUUGAAAAUGUCUGGCCCCUCCGACCGUCGUUUUGACUUGAACCUUGUUGAAGAGGCAGCCCCGCCUUCUCCAGACAACAUAUGGCGCCCAUCCUUCGUCUCCCCUACUGGUCCUCUUACCGUUGGGGAUUCCGUGAUGAAGAAUGAUAUGACCGCUGCGGUGGUGGCCAGGAACCUUCUCACUCCCAAAGAUAACAGACUACUUUCCAAACGGUCUGAUGAGUUAGCUGUUAAGGAUUCGCUGGCUCUCAGUGUUCAGUGUGCAGGUUCUGUGUCUAAUAUGGCCCAACGCCUAUUUGCUCGAACCCGCCAAGUUGAAUCAUUGGCGGCUGAAGUGAUGAGUCUCAAACAGGAGAUUAGAGGGCUCAAGCAUGAGAAUAAACAGUUGCACCGGCUCGCACAUGACUAUGCUACAAACAUGAAGAGGAAGCUUGACCAGAUGAAGGAAACUGAUGGUCAGGUUUUACUUGAUCAUCAGAGAUUUGUGGGUUUGUUCCAAAGGCAUUUAUUGCCUUCGUCUUCUGGGGCUGUACCGCGUAAUGAAGCUCCAAAUGAUCAACCUCUGAUGCCUCCUCCUUCUAGGGUUCUGUCCAGUACUGAGGCUCCAAAUGAUCCCCCUCCGGUGCCUUCUCUUUCUGGGGCUCUACCGACUGCUGAGACUUCUCCUAAGCAACCUUUGUGAAGGCUCCCUCUUGUGUGCUUAUUUUGACUCAUGUAUAUGUACAUAUUUGUAGCUUAUCGGGGAUAUCAAUAAAUAAGCUUUCCUUCAUUUCAACGUAUUGUGUUAAAUACACCAAAGCCUUCUUCGCUAAGUUCUUUGAAUUUUCUUUUGUUAAAGCUUGUAUGUUGAAGCUUUCUGAGUGGAGCAUGUAGGUUGGGGUAGUGUUCCUUAAUUUCCCGAGUGAGGAAAACUUCUCGGUUGGAGACUUGGAAAAUCCAAGUCACUGAGUGGGAUCGGCUAUAUGAAUCUUAGAACGCCAUUGUGCUCGAUCCUGUGUCAUGUCCUUCGUUAGAUCCAAGUACUCUAAGUCUUUUCUUAGAGUCUCUUCCAAAGUUUUCCUAGGUCUUCCUCUACCCCUUCGGCCCUGAACCUCUGUCCCAUAGUCGCAUCUUCUAAUCGGAACGUCAGUAGGCCUUCUUUGCACAUGUCCAAACCACCGUAACCGAUUUUCUCUCAUCUUUCCUUCAAUUUCGGCUACUCCUACUUUACCCCGGAUAUCCUCAUUCCUAAUCUUAUCCUUUCUCGUGUGCCCACACAUCCAACGAAGCAUCCUCAUCUCCGCUACACCCAUUUUGUGUACGUGUUGAUGUUUCACCGCCCAACAUUCUGUGCCAUACAGCAUCGCCGGCCUUAUUGCCGUCCUAUAAAAUUUUCCCUUGAGCUUCAGUGGCAUACGGCGGUCACACAACACGCCGGAUGCACUCUUCCACUUCAUCCAUCCAGCUUGUAUUCUAUGGUUGAGAUCUCCAUCUAAUUCUCCGUUCUUUUGCAAGAUAGAUCCUAGGUAACGAAAACGGUCGCUCUUUGGUAUUUCUUGAUCUCCGAUCCUCACCCCUAACUCGUUUUGGCCUCCAUUUGCACUGAACUUGCACUCCAUAUAUUCUGUCUUUGAUCGGCUUAGGCGAAGACCUUUAGAUUCCAACACUUCUCUCCAAAGGUUAAGCUUUGCAUUUACCCCUUCCUGAGUUUCAUCUAUCAACACUAUAUCGUCUGCGAAAAGCAUACACCAAGGAAUAUCAUCUUGAAUAUGUCGUGUUAACUCAUCCAUUACCAACGCAAAAAGGUAAGGACUUAAGGAUGAGCCUUGAUGUAAUCCUACAGUUAUGGGAAAGCUUUCGGUUUGUCCUUCAUGAGUUCUUACGGCAGUCUUUGCUCCUUCAUACAUAUCCUUUAUAGCUUGGAUAUAUGCUACUCGUACUCCUUUCUUCUCUAAAAUCCUCCAAAGAAUGUCUCUUGGGACCCUAUCAUACGCUUUUUCCAAAUCUAUAAAGACCAUGUGUAAAUCCUUUUUCCCAUCUCUAUAUCUUCCAUCAAUCUUCGUAAGAGAUAGAUUGCCUCCAUGGUUGAGCGCCCUGGCAUGAACCCGAAUUGGUUGUCCGAAACCCGUGUCUCUUGCCUCAAUCUAUGCUCAAUGACUCUCUCCCAGAGCUUCAUUGUAUGACUCAUUAGCUUAAUACCCCUAUAGUUCAUGCAAUUUUGUACGUCGCCCUUAUUCUUGUAGAUAGGCACCAAAGUGCUCAUUCGCCACUCAUUUGGCAUCUUCUUCGUUUUCAAAAUCCUAUUGAAAAGGUCAGUGAGCCAUGUUAUACCUGUCUCUCCCAAAAGUUUCCACACUUCGAUUGGUAUAUCGUCUGGGCCUAUUGCUUUUUUAUGCUUCAUCUUCUUCAAAGCUACAACCACUUCUUCCUUCCGGAUUCGACGAUAAAAAGAGUAGUUUCUACACUCUUCUGAGUUACUCAACUCCCCUAAAGAAGCACUCAUUUCAUGUCCUUCAUUGAAAAGAUUAUGAAAAUAACCUCUCCAUCUGUCUUUAACCGCGUUCUCUGUAGCAAGAACCUUUCCAUCCUCAUCCUUGAUGCACCUCACUUGGUUUAGGUCCCUUGUCUUCUUUUCCCUUGCUCUAGAUAGUUUAUAGAUAUCCAACUCUCCUUCUUUGGUAUCUAGUCGUUUAUACAUAUCGUCGUAAGCCGCUAACUUAGCUUCUCUGACAGCUUUCUUCGCCUCUUGCUUCGCUUUUCUAUACCUUUCACCAUUUUCAUCAGUCCUCUCCUUGUAUAAGGCUUUACAACAUUCCUUCUUAGCCUUCACCUUUGUUUGUACCUCCUCAUUCCACCACCAAGAUUCCUUUUGGUGUGGGGCAAAGCCCUUGGACUCUCCUAAUACCUCUUUUGCUACUUUUCGGAUACAACUAGCCAUGGAAUCCCACAUUUGGCUAGCUUCCCCCUCUCUAUCCCACACACAUUGGGUGAUUACCUUCUCUUUGAAAAUGGCUUGUUUUUCUUCUUUUAGAUUCCACCAUCUAGUCCUUGGGCACUUCCAAGUCUUGUUCUUUUGUCUUACUCUUUUGAUAUGUACAUCCAUCACCAACAAGCGAUGUUGAUUAGCCACGCUCUCUCCUGGUAUAACUUUGCAAUCCUUACAAGUUAUACGAUCCCCUUUCCUCAUUAGAAGAAAAUCUAUUUGUGUUUUUGACGACCCACUCUUGUAGGUGAUCACAUGUUCUUCUCUCUUCUUAAAGAAGGUGUUGGCUAAGAAGAGAUCAUAUGCCAUUGCAAAUCCAAGAUAGCUUCCCCAUCCUCGUUUCUCUAGACUUUCAAAUCAUCAACAUCGACCAAGAUUGGAUUGGAUUGAAUCGAUCGUUUGGGCGGAUUGGAUUGAAUCUUGAACACCCGUAGCUUUGAUAUCUAAAUAGCAAGCAAUCAAACUGUUCUAAGGAAACUUAAAGCUUAACUUACCUUUUGCUUUCGGCAGGCAACAAACAAUGCUCAACACAAAUCUCUUCAAAUUACGAAAAUUUCAGAUGUAAACCGAUGAGAAACUGUCGACGCGAGUCUAAGAAAUCGAACUACAUUUGAUCAGAACGCAACAACGGUCACCCUAUAAGUUGGUCUUGCAACUCAUAAUUAAGGAAAGAAAAAAACGACCACUUUUAAAGUAAAUUGUACAUACGAGAGAAAGUAAAUGGUUUUAUCAAAUGCUGUUGAACUAAGACUGAAGGGGAGGAGGGUAACUUUUAUCUCUCAUCUUUGGUUUUCCGGGUAUUUGCGCUGCUUUUGCUGAUGUAAUGGCCACAGGAAAGGACGCUGCUACUCCGAAUUUCCAAUGAAAUUUGUAUGUAACACCAUGUACAAUGCAGAAGAAUGAAGAGACUUGCUGCCUUUGCUGUUUAUCAUGGGUUGGUUAUAACCGCACGAGCCGGUCUCUGUUAUAUGCAGAAGCUCUUUGUUCAAGUUGUUUGUUAGAUUUUCAGCACCUAACCGACUUACGAGACCAUAUCAAGUUCACUGUACCCGUCAGCGUUGUUAUUGGGGAUAGCACUCCUGGUUUCCUGCAUACUGAAAUCCGGGAGACUAGUAUCAAAACUGUUGAGAUCGCUCACCUUAGUACGAGCACGCCUGGAUGGCCUUAAUUUGGAGGUGUCUUGGGGAAAUUCGUCCCUACUCUUCCGCUUCUGUUUUGUGUCUAAAAAUCCAUAAGCUAAAGAUUCCAGUACCUUAGUGCUCAGUGGUCGGUUUCUUGUGCUCUGUCUCCGAGAGUUCAUUGCAGGCUGCUGUUCAGAAGUUGCCCCACUUUCAGAGGGAUUCACUGAAUGGGAAGCAGCAUCUGGUUCCUGGUGUGUUUGAUCAUCUUGUCUUUCUAUCAUUGUGAAAGGUUCAUCAGUUUCAGCAUCUAGAGGCGGGGGCAUGUUCAAGUCAAUCAACAUAGGGCGCUGAGGAUUCUCUUGGAAUAUUUCCACAGGCAAACUGUUGCCACAACGAUUGCCUUCACCACUAUCAACUGGGCUGGCUCCUCUAGGCGAAGUACUGGCGGAUGAUAACUUCUCUCCAGAUGGUUCCACUUGAGAAGGAGUUUUCUCACCAAGUGCCGCAUGGUCUCCAGACACAUCUUGUUGUAACAUGGGACCUUGCAAGAACUGGCUCCUGCUGGGGGUGAUCUCUGUGCGACUACAAGCAGCUAACCGUCGACGUCUUUUUGAAACAGGGGCAAGAUGAUUUUCAUUUUCAGAAACCAUUUUCCGGCUUUUUUGGCACUUCAUAGCUUUCCGGCGCUGCAUGUCGUUGCAUGUACCAAUGUUCUCAUUCUUGGGGAGAUCUGCAGUCACAGUAGUCGAACCUUGACCAAAAGCUUGAUGUUCCACCUCUGAAGUACCAUAUUUAAAAUAUUUGUCACCAUUUCUACCCAAACGGAUGGACUUCAAAACGUGGAUCUCAUCCCUCUGUGAACACAAGGAAUUAGCAGAAUUAUAUUUAUCUGCUGAAUCCUCAGAAGCAUCCUCAUCGUCAUCUUCAGAAUCACUUCUGGAGGCGGAGACAUCCAAUUCAAGCGGUAAGCUUCUCAGUUCCCUCACCUUGAAUAUUUUCCCAUUAGACAGACUAGUAUCCACAACCGUAAACUUCAUGACAUUUGUACUACUACGAUUUGGAGUACGAGGCUGCAGAUAACAGUGACGUUGCUGAUUUGGGAAGUCUUGUUCGUCCAGCUUUGUUUCAUCUGUCCACCCAUUUUCUUUAUUUGCUCCCAUUUCAAGCUCAAGAAGCUCAGGGUCUGAAGCAACUUUAUUCAGGACGUCACUUACCGAAUCAAAGUAGUGGGAUCCCUUCACCAGUUUCCUUCUUGAGAAUUUCUUAAUACCAGGGAUAAGAAAGACCAAUGAAUUCCUGGAACCAGUGGAGAAACCCGGAUAAGGCUGCUCAGAGUGCCACCCUCUUUCAAGCAAACGAGGCCAGACAGCUUCCCAAAAGAGAUCGCUCGAGCGGGCUUUGCUUAGCCGGAAGCCCCCUGUUAGAAAGUUGACUAUUUCUAGUGGCGUAAGGGUGGAGCAUGCUUUGCCAGUUGGUAUUUCUGGGCGAACGGGAGCAACCUGAUUGGACUUUAAAGUCUCUGUGGCAAUGCCUGUGAGAUCUUUCUUUCCUGUACCAAUUCCCACUGCCUUUACCAGUGCAUUCAAUCCAACUCUAGCCUUUAAAAUUAAUACAUAUUCUUCUAGUAAAAUUUUUCCUUCCCCAAAUGUCUUCGAGACCUGGAAUUGGUCAAACAAAUUAAAACAUACCAUAUCCUGAUACGAACAAAUAAAGGGACAAACAAUCAUAGUAAAAUCCAAGGUGUAUCCCUUCUGUAAAACAACUGUUUAUCUGCAUUAACAGAUUUCAUUUUGAGUAGUCAACGUUAUAUGUUUCUGUUGUAUAAAAUCAGAAGGAAACAAGUGGCAGAUAAAAUGAUGGAUCCACAUGCAUUACAUAUUUGCACUUGCUUGUCUAUCUUCAUCAGAAAAUAAACAUUUGUCAGUAUUUUCAUAUAUAAUUUGUCUAUACAGUAUCUGCAUAAAUCCAUAAUUUAAGCUAAAAUACUACUAAAUUUAAUGAGUAGGAGGCGGUAAUCUUUAGACAUGGAACUAAUUGCUAAAGUAAUAAACACACAAAUUCGAUUUUACAAAUCACUUCCACAUGAUUCAACUCUGCCAAAAAAAAUAAACGGGUACACAAAAGGAAAGCAAAGUUACAGAAGGCAUAUAGGGACUUUGUGAGAACUAUGUACAAAGAGUUAAACAAUUAAAGGGAUACUAAUCUGUCUAAAUUUUAGCAAUCAAAUAAUAACUUGAAAAAUGUUGGCAGAGAAUCUACACAGAACCUGAAUUAGAGUAUUCAGGAAAGCAAAUAACUAAUUUAGCAUACUUUUGUUUGUUUGUUUGCAUAUUGAUGUGUGUACAGACAGGCUGAUAUAAUUUUUAUCCACAUUAUUGAAGUUUCGUAGAGAUGUAAUUACCUCAAGCAAAGAAGUUUGGCAUUCUUCUGACACGUGAGGAAACAAACGAGAAAACAACUCAUGUUGCCUUGGCCCAGUAAAAAUUCUUUGCCCAAAUAUACAUUUUCUGCUUCUCAUUUUUUUGCAUUCUUUCCAUCUCUUGUAUCUGUCAGACUUGUAAAAUUUCCCAUAGUAGAAUGACAAAAUAUCACCCAUUUGUUUGCUUCCGACAAACUUCUUCACCAGAACGAGGUUCCUCUCAAAGAUAUAUAAACCAAGAAGAAAACUGGCUUCUUCCAUGUCAAUCCAAUUGUCUCCUGCAGAACCAGGAACCGGACAGUACACUCCUCCAGGCUUUUGAUGCAUUUCAGCCUUCCUUUCUUGUUUCAAUACUAGAUUUUCUGACUCGCCAGAUGUUUUCACAUUAUCGGACUUAGCAUCCGUUGGAUCAGCUUUGCACUUUACAUUGUCACUUUCUGAAUCAAUCAAGGUCUCUCCGACAUGUUCAUAUUUUUUGGUGUCCAAUUCCUCGCUGAUCCACAUUACUGGUACAGGCAAACCCAUUACUAAACCACAGGGACUACCGCCAGAAAUUUCUGCAUCAGUUGGGUUUUUUAAAAGCCGUAUAUAGUCAGAAACAGCUAGUAGACAGGGAAUUUCAGCCUGGUACUCAUCUCCAACUCUAGGACCUAGCUCAGGGUCACCAGAGACACCACAUAUAUCAGAAGCUUCUGGAGAAAAUGAAUGCUCAGCUUCAUCGUCAUUGAUAUCCCCAUGGCUAUUUCCUUCAACUGAAUCCAUCUGUCAUACAAGAAGGAGGGGGAGGGGGAACUGGUAUUGUUAAAUAGCCUUUCUGAGACAACAAAAGGAUCAAGGUUCUUCCUUCUGUCCAACAGACAAUUUAAAAGACAUAUACUUCAUAAAAAAUUUCGAAAAUUAUGAAUGCUAUAUGCCAAUUUGAAAUCGUACAUUGCUCCCCCGAUCAUAUUUUUGAUACCAUUAUAAGAACAUGAUAGCCAACUGAGAAAGAUAGAAAAUGAGGAAUAGAACUGCAUGCUAAAAAAAUGCUUCUACUCUAACAAAAUCCAGUCCAAUUUUACAUUUUCAAAUACCCUUUCAAAAUUUCAGACUAAAUUUCUCAUUUUGUUGAAUCUGUUCAAUGUUUCCAAUCUAAAAGUUCAUAUUUACGGGAUCGAAAGGAGCAACCAAGACACGACCGUUCGGUUAUGAAGAAGUCCAAAACCAAUUGAGCUGCUACUAAUGCAGCAGGUUGGUCAUAAACAUGCCAAAGAUAAAACAUUUAUUUUUAUCCUAGCAGCAAUACAGAUUGAAGAACUCAUGCAACUAGCAGCAAUAAAUCCUAGUUAAUCAUUAAUUACAGAGAGAAAGAGAGAGGAAUUUCCUCAGAACAAAUUGAUAAAUACCAAUUUCAAAAUUUGAAGCAAACAAAAUAUUUUUUUUUUCUUGCAUUUAUUAUAUUAAAAAGUUUACUCAUAAACCACAAAUAAUCAUAAAUAUUUUUUUUUUUUUUUGGUACCAAUAAUUUAUUUUUUUAAUAAAAAGGUACCAAAAAAUAAUAAUAACCCAGCAAUAAUUUUUUCAAGCAUAAACCAGAAGAAAGACAAGCAAACAGAGCGUUAAGUAGCAAGCCCGCAACAAAAUAACCAAUCCAGAUCCCUUUUCGAACCCAGACUAAAAUCGACGAAACUACAAAAAGGUAUAAACUUUAAGAUAAUUAUCUGAAAACCCAUUAAGCACAUUCAUAUCAAAACAACAAACAAUCACGACCAAAACAAAAAAACACCAAAAAGUACUAAACUUUAAUAAAAAUAAAUAAUUACCCAACAUAGAAAAAAACGACAGAAAGAACAGGAAAGCAUUCCGGCAGGCAAAAACCACAGUCCCAGUGAAAAUUCCAAUACGAUCCCAUGAAAUUCCACUUAUUUACCAAACAAUGACCCUCCAAAAACACAGAGAGAACUGCAUUGAAUCGUAAAACAAAUAAAAACAGCAACCCAGAAAACGAAAGAAUUGGUUUUUUAAUAUUUCCAUACCUCCACGGAGAAGGAAACGAUAUUUGAAGCCGAACCCACGUGACAGAGCAAGCCUGAGAAAAAUGGGUCUUGGAGUUUUAGCACCAAUUUGCAAGCUUUGGAUUAAAAAUAUAUAAAUAAAACAAAGCGUGAAGCGCACACACACUCUCUCACACAGAGAGCCUGUGCCUCUGAGUCUCUCUAUUUUUAGAGAGAGAAAACUCACGCACGCUGUUGGACAUGAAAACUAGAGAGAGAGAGAGAGAGGGUUGUACCUGGGUUUUAUGGAAGCUAAGCUUUCAUGACCACGAAGGCUGAUUUCGAAGGAGGCCAAAACCAAAGAGAAAAAUAUUUGAGAAAGCAAAAGUCGUUGUGUACUUGGAGAGAGAAAAUAUUACGAUUUUAUAGAGAGAGAUGGAGAGGUGGGAGAGAGAGGACCCGAGUGUUUUCUUUUGGUGUGUGAGAGAGGGAAGGGGGGGGGGGGGCUCUGGACCAUAUAAAGACGUACGAAAGCGAUAUCUCCACGCGCCACCAUAGCGCGUGAGAUACUAAAUCCUGUAACAUUUGACACGUGGCCCUUAAAGAUUCCUGCUACAAUAGACCGGACGAGAUUUGUACACUAUGGCCUGCGUUGGUGCAGAGAGAUUUUUUAGGCCUCGUUUGGUAGCCCGUAUAAGAGAUCGGAUAGGAUAGUUAAUACGGUUCCGGGUGUUUGGUGCAAUUCUGUACUAAAUAGUACCCGUAUUACUUAUACUGGGUCCACACAUUUAUCCGGUGUAUGCCCGUUUAUUUAUCCUUCCAAAAACCUUCGUAUAAUUAGUCGGUUCCAUCCAGUCUUGCUCCAUCGCUCACUCUCUCAGAUCGUUCUUACUACAGGUCGCUGCCCGUUGCCAUCGCCAAUCCCGGAUUUUUUCUUCCUUAUUUUCUUCUCCUUCGUCUUCUCUCUCUCCUCAGACCCACUUCCAAAGCCAUGGCUGAAAAAAGAACUAAUUCUCAACAGGGUCUCUCUCAAAGAAUCCCAAGUCGACUUGGUUAGAAAGAAAAUCAAGAUGUUGUAUCUUCCUGUUCCUCUUUCACUCCACUGCCUUUGCCCUCCUCUUCAGUUCCUCGUCGUGGUACCCGCACAAGUUCGCAUGUCGCCGGUCCUGGGAAUUUUUUUGUUGUAGAACUUUUGUUCUGCGAUUUGUAAUUUGGGGAUUUUUUUGUCAAAGUAAUUUGGGAAAUUUAGAUUAGCAUAGUUUUUGUUAACCAUUUGUUGUCAUAAUGCUUUGUUAAAGGGUUGAAGGAAAGAUUUCAUAAUGCUUUGGCAGAAGAAACCCAGGUGAAAUAGGCUCCGGUAAAAGAGGUUCUGGAGCGGGUUCUGGGCAUGGUGGAGUCGAGAAAGGACCGGACCUCGGUGUCGCUGGUGUGCAAGGGCAUGGUGGAAGAACAGCCGAGUACCCGCUGCUAGAGGAGCUCCGGCUGAAGAGGAUGAGAGCCUGGAGAUGUUGGGUGUUUGUUCUGGUGGGUUCAAAGCUCUUUCGCUUGUCAGCUGUGAUGGGUUCAGUACUGAUGGAAAUUGUUUUUCAUAAAAAUAAUAACAAUACGAUUUAUCCGGUAUAAUACCAAACACAGUAUUAAAUAGUCGGUCUUUAGUCUGAUAUUACACCAAACGCCCGACUAAUUUAGUCAAUACUAUCCGGUGACUAUUUAUCCUAUCCGACUGAAAUAGUCAGUACAACACGAGCUGCCAAACGAGGCCUUAGUGUGUUUGGAGUACGAGGUCUCAACACGAAAUUGAAAUAUCAUGUCAUUAUACUACUUAGAGAAACUUAAAAUAAAAUAAAAUUAUUUAAUUGUAUGAUGCAAUGUGACGUUUUGUUUCGUGUUUCAGGUACAUUGAAAAUUUUCUAGUAGUUAAGAGGCGGGCCAAUGGUGUGCUGCCACCUAUGUGGAAGUUACGGAGGUUUAUUACUAGUGGCUUGAACGACAAGUCGUAGUGAUGUUAUUACGAGCUAGAUUGGCAAGCCAUAGGUAUCGUUGUAUGGUGCGGUCCUACGCGCUCAGAGGCGCGUGUUAGUAAGUGAGGGUUGUUUUUGGGUGCAUAUAUUUAUAAAAGUUCUUUUAUUUUCUGAAAUAAUCAUUUGAAGGGAUUUUCUUAAAUAUUUUUUGGGGUAUUUCUCGAUGAGGAAAGGCUAGACUUUCAGUUAUCGUGGGGUUCGGUCGUCAACUGAGUCAAGCUAUUAUGGCUAUCUCGGACAUAAGCUCUUAAACACACUCAGUUCAUAAAUCCUAGCAAAAAUGCUACACAAUGUUGUCAAUUAACAAAGGAUAAGAGGUGAUUAGCGGCUUAAUAAUAUAAAGCAUAACAAAUCACUAACCGACAAUGUAAAUGGCUAGUUAGCGCCUAAUAAUAUAACACAUAACGCAUCAUUAAUCGACAACGUAAACGGCAAAAACAGACUGUGUGAACGCAAUAACUGACUAUUUGGGCAAAGAACGUUAUGUAUGCGUCCAAUUCUAGUCUCUUUUAACUUUUUUCUUUUUGUUUUUUAUCUAUUCACUUAAAAUAUGGAGGUUUUGUCGCGUAUCAUUUAUGAAAUUUGAAUAUGUAAUCUGGUUUCUGGAUUCGGUUUUAUGACACUAAAUAGUGCACUUCACGCGUUUACCGCCAAGAUAAAAUAAAAAUGGUAUAUAUGAGGUAAUGUUUUCUUACUGGAUAAGUGUUCUCUUUUGUGUUAGGUACAUUCAUCGCAUUUCUAACAAACAAUAUCUCAUAUAAUUUAUGUUAAAAUCUCACAUCGGUAGCCAAAUCAUUUUCCAUUUAUGAAAUUGAAGUUUUUCGGUGCAGAAUGACAGUUGCCAUUCGGUCAAUUAACAGUUAAGAUAGAUUUUACUCACUUUUAACUGCAGAAAAAAAUGAAGGAAAAUAUAUUCAUGCUAACAGAAGUGAUUUCUUUGUAAAGUUUUUACUUACCAAAAUAAUGAUUUGGAGCUCUGUCUUAAAUAUUUUUUUUUUGAGGAUUUUUUUCUCGUGAAUACGGAAGGGCUCAACUUUCAAUUGACGUGAUGUUCGGUUUAGGGAUAGGCAAAUACCCAUCGGUUAUGAGUAACCGUGGUUAUCUGCCCAUUUAAAUUUCACAAUUACUGUUAUGGGUAACCGUUUAAAUAAAUAAACGGUUAUGGGUAUAACCGUUUACUCGCGAAAUUUAAAUGGACGGUUAUAAGUAUUAACCGCGGUUAUAAACGGGUAACCAUUUACCCAUUUAUUUUAUAUAUGUAAAAUUAACACAAACCAUGUUCCCUAUCGAACAAAACUUAGAUCAAUGUUAUUGACUAUAGUGCAUGAUUUAUAUAGCUAAUAUAAUAUAACUUUUCUUAACCACUUUAAAUUUCAUGGUCCAUUAUAUAUAUUAUGUUAAUAUUUUACAUUUCAAGUUAAAUAACCCAAGAAUACUGUCUAUUAACAAUUUUCGUAACCCAAGAAUACUUAACAAAUUUUAUAUUACCUUCAUUGCUAACAAUUAAAAAUAUUGUCUGUAAAAUAUUAUUUCAAUUUUUAGAAUGGUAUAAGGACUUAAAAAAUAGUCAGCGUUCAGUUUAAUAAAUAGUUAUAACGGUGUUUAAUUGUUAUAAAAAGAAAAUUAUGACAAAUUUUUCUUUUUUAAUUUUCAAGUUGUUAAAAAACACGUAGACGGGUGAAAAAUGAGUAAAUGGUAAAAAAGAAAGGAUAAACGGGUUUAAAAAUGAUAAAUGGGUAAACGGGUACUAAACGGUUACGGUUAAAUGGGUACACGGUUAUGGGUAUGUUAACUGUUUAUAAACGGUUAUGGGUAUGGGUAUAACCGUUUAGACAAUUACUUAACGGGUAAACGGUUAUGCGGGUAUGAGAAUAAACGGUUAUGACUAAAUAACCGUAGUUACCCACCUGCCAUAACCGUUGCCCAUCCCUAGUUCGGUUAUAAACUGAGAGACAAGCUAUAAGUUUUUAAACAUGGAGUUAGGUAAAGGGUUUUAAUUUCAGCUUAGUUCAUGAAUCAUACCACAAAAUAUUACACAGAGUUGUCAAUUAACAAGGGAAAUAUUAGAGAUGAUUAGUGGACAAAGAAUAUAACACAUAACGUACCACUAAUCAACAACGUGAACGUAAUAAAUAGACUGUGCGAGCGUAAUAACUGACUAUCUGAGCAAGCAACGUUAUGCAAACGUCUAAUUUUGCUCUAUUUUAACUUUUUGUUUUUGUAAGAUCCCACAUCGCCCAGGAGAGUGAUCCUUAUAUGUAUAUUCUCAUUCCUACCUAGCAAGUAGCCUUUUGGGAGCUCACUGGUUUCGGGUUCCGUAGGAACUCCGAAGUUAAGCGAGUUUGCGCGAGAGUAAUCUCAGGAUGGGUGACCUACUGGGAAGUUCUCAUCUGAGUUCUCAAAAACAAAACCGUGAGGGCGUGGUCGGGGCUCAAAGAAGACAAUAUCGUGCUACGGUGGAGUCGAGCCAAGGAUGUGAUGGGGGCCGGGGCAGGGAUGUGACAGUUUUUGUUUUCUUAUAUGUUCACUUAAAAUAUAAAGGUUUUGUUGCGUUUCUGAAAUUGAAUUUUAUCUGGUUCUGGAUUAGUGCGAUUUUACGCUCAUACAAGAGUAGUGAGUAUCGCUAGUAAUAUAUAUUAUAUAUAUAUAUAUAUAUAUUUUUUUUUUUUUUUUUUUUUUAAUGUAUGAGGCAUUGUUUUCUUACUAGAUAGUUUGACAUAUUAGUUAGAUUAAUUCCGACUUCCACAUUAUGCAUGGGGUUUUUUUUUUUUAAUCACAAAUGGUUUCUAAUGUACUGUGAAGUCAUCAAUUUGGUUUUUUAAUCUUUCAAACUCAUCAAUUUCGUCCCACCCUUUAUUAACUUUUUAAUAUUGUCAUUGUCAUCUAAUUCCUUUAAGAAUUCCUUUACACUAUGGUUGGAAGGAAAUAAACAUAGAAUUUUGACAAAAGUCAAUUUUAUAAAUUGACAUGCAUUAAUUCCUUAGUUUGGAUUCAUAAAAAUAGAAAUUUAAAAUUUUUAAGUAAAAGUUUAAAAAUAAGUGUCAUUUCUAAAUUUAUAUAAGUGAAAGUUUAAAAAUAACAAAUUUCGUAUUCAAAUUCCAUUGUUUUUAGAUUAGUCAAACAAGAUUAUUGACAAAUUCUAAAAAAUAAAAUUCCAUCAUUUUAAUUUUCAUCAUUUUAAAACUUUUUAGUAUUUUUAAGUUUUUUUGGAAUAUUAAUGUGCUGACAUGUCAUGUAUUUGGGUCCUAGGCAACGGUAUUUUGCCAUGUGGAUUGAGUUAAAAAUUGUAUAUAAAAUUGUUGGUUAAAAAGUAAAUUAAAAAAUCACCUGUCGUCUUCAGACUUCAGCAAACCCAUUGUCGUCUCAUCCACUCCGCCCACCAUGGCCGUCGACCUCAAAUCCCCACCAGUCCACCACCACCCACGGCGGCACAAUUCAACUCAUCUCUCUCUUCUUUUUUUGUCAAUAACUCAUCUCUCUCUCAAUGAUCAAAAGCUCUGAAAUUUUUAGUCGGGGUAUGGGUACUGGCACUGGGUAGGGCGAUGUCGCCGAUGAGAAUUUGAUCGGGAAAGACUCACUGCUCCAUGACGACGACAUUUUCAAGGUUAGCGCCGGAAGGGGGUGGUACUUGGGUGAAUUAUGUGAAUUACUCGGGAGAGAAAGGGUGCAACGGUAUGGAACGUGGUGGGUGGUAGUGGUGGGACUAGAGGUCGACGUCGACGGUGGGUGGAGUGGAGGGCUGCUGAAGUUUGAAGACGACAAUUGAAUUUUUUAUUUACUAAAUCUUGGUUUUUUUCCUUUUAUUUUAAGGAAAACUAACCAAAAAGGCUUAAAAACAUUAAGUUUUAACCAAAAACCAUGUUACAAGUUUAUUUAAUGGUUAGUACAAAGUUUAAUUUUAAAUCAGCCCAAUAAGAAUGGCCCAAGCAAUAACAUUCCGCUUUUGCCCCUGACGGCAAGCUUUAUCUCUCCCUCCCUAUUUCGAUCUCUCCGUCUAAUAUCUGCAAGCUGGAUUUCGUCCUUAAGGUCCUGCCAUGGCGUCUUUUGAACCUCUUCAAUGCUCAGCUUCUACAAGCCUAGCCUCGACAUACUCUCUUCCAGGAACUCUCUCCGGCAUCUUCUGUACACGUGCGAGCACUCAUUUCCGAACCCCGCCGCCACCAUCCGCUUAGCAAUCUCAUGGAGGUUGUUGAUGGUUCCAGAAGGAAGCGCAUCGAUCACGAUGUCGUAGUCGUCGAUCGGCUGAGCAGUAGGGAUUUGGUGUUCCUCACCGUCCCCAAUUACCUCAUCCUCCUCUUCUUCUUCAUCAUCUCCCAAGUCAAACGACAACACGCCAUUCUACUCGCCACGAAACACGCGAUUGAGUUUUCGUGACUCGCCGCCGCGUUCGACCAAGGAUCUGAACUCGUCCUCGAGCCGGAACAUGGUCUGCCGCAUAAGAUAAAAGUUGUUUUCUAGGAAUGAUGACUUAUGGUUUUUAGUUUGGUAUUAGCAUUUGUUGUUUGGACACAGGUACUGUUUGUGUGUGUUAGGUAGUGUAUAAUAACUUGAAGAAGGAUAAAAAUGGCUACUAGAAGUGGUUCGCUGGGAACUUGGCAUCAGGCGGUGCUGCUAGUGCUUCAUCUCUUCUUUUUGUACAUUCUCGGGACUAUGCAAGAACACGUUUGGCAAGUGAUGCCAAGGCUGCCAAGAAGGGUGGUUGAAAGGCAGUUUAAUGGUUUAGUUGUGUUGGAAUUUUCGUGUAUUGUGGGCUUUACUUUGGAAUGUACGAUUCUCUAAAACUUAUGGUUUUAACUGGUGGCCUGCAUGAUAGCUUCUUUGCUAGCUUCUUGUUUUCUUGUUGGGAUGGGGAGUUACGAUUGGUGCUAGAUUAGCUUCUUACCCCAUUGACACAAUGCGCCAUGGAUGAUGAUGACCUAAGGAGCAACAGUUAAAUAUAGUAGCUCUCUGGAUGCAUUUAAGCAAAUUAUAAAAAAUGAGGGUGCUUAAGUCGCUGUUUAAACGGAACACUAGUACUAUCACUGUUUCAUAAACUAAACAUUGACUAUUUAUCAAACGAACACAAGUACUAUCACUGUUUCGUAAACUAAACACUGACUAUUUCUGAAACGAAACACUAGUACUAUCACUGUUUCGUAAACUAAACACUGACUAUUUAUCAAAUGAACACUAGUACUAUCACUGUUUCGUAAACUAAACACUGACUAUUUAUCAAACGAACACUAGUACUAUCACUGUUUCGUAAACUAAGCACUGACUAUUUCUUAAACGGAACACUAGUACUAUCACUGUUUCGUACACUAAACACUGACUAUUUAUCAAACGAACACAAGUACUAUUACUGUUUCACUGUUUCAUAAACUAAACAUUGACUAUUUAUCAAACGAACACAAGUACUAUCACUGUUUCGUAAACUAAACACUGACUAUUUCUGAAACGAAACACUAGUACUAUCACUGUUUCGUAAACUAAACACUGACUAUUUAUCAAAUGAACACUAGUACUAUCACUGUUUCGUAAACUAAACACUGACUAUUUAUCAAACGAACACUAGUACUAUCACUGUUUCGUAAACUAAGCACUGACUAUUUCUUAAACGGAACACUAGUACUAUCACUGUUUCGUACACUAAACACUGACUAUUUAUCAAACGAACACAAGUACUAUUACUGUUUCGUAAACUAAACACUGACUAUUUCUGAAACGGAACACUAGUACUAUCACUGUUUCGUAAACUAAACACUGACUAUUUCUUAAACGAAACACUAGUACUAUCAUUGUUUCGUAAACUAAACACUGACUAUUUCUUAAACGGAACACAAGUACUAUCACUGUUUCGUAAACUAAACGCUGACUAUUUAUCAAACGAACAUAAGUACUAUCACUGUUUCGUAAACUAAACACUGACUAUUUCUGAAACGGAACACUAGUACUAUCACUGUUUCGUAAACUAAACACUGACUAUUUAUCAAACGAACACUAGUACUAUCACUGUUUCGUAAAUUAAACACUGACUAUUUCUUAAAUGGAACAUUGACUAUUGAUGAUGAAUGGCUAAGAUCAAGCUUUUGACAGGCGAUUUUCAUCGAAACUGAUCGUCAUUGUUCAUCGAUCCAUUGGAGUUUCGACUUGAAAUAUUCAAACAGUUUGAUUCUUUCGUUUGGCUUAGAGUUCAUCUGUAUUAUAUUCCAAAUUUGCAUGCGAUUCAAUUUUUCAAUUGUUCCUUUGGGUGGAUCGAAGGGAAAAGGAAGAAUCCAAUUCCAAGAAAGAAGAGGCAAAUUUAAUUGCAUGACUAAAAUCAUCUUUAGCUUGCUGUUUUCCAUAUGUAAUAAAUAAAGCAAAUGGAGCAUUGAAUGGAAACAAAAAAAGUGCAUAAGUUAAACUAUAGUAUCUACCCAACUUAAUAGUAAUGUAGUGUUGCAUACUAUCUCCUCUAUUAUUUUUAGAAAAUAAAAGUCAGAAGAUUUGAACACAUUUUAUGAAUUAACAAUUGCACUAUGAGCAGAUGGAACAAAACUGAAAUCCCAGUAAAUAAAAUGCUGGUAUUGAUUAUUUGAUUACACUAAACCAACAUUCAAAUUGCAAAUAAAAGUAUACAUUUCAUUGCAUAUGUGUUGUUCUAAAUACUAUUCAUAAAACGUUUUUUCGAACAAAACACUCAUAAAUUGUUAUACUGCAACAUAACAUCUCAAACGUUUGUACAUAAAUAAUACCUAAUCAUUUAGCUAAGGGUGCAUUAUGAGUGACAAAUAUGUUAAUUCCCGAAGCAUCUUCCAUGCUCUUUAUACGUGUAAGCAAAAAUUGCUCCUUUGAUUGAAGUGGCGAACUACAUUGCUUACAGGCAAACUAAAGACACCUUUUCGUUGUACUUUAGAAUUUAUUGUUUGUAUCACGAACCUAAAUUAUUAUAGAAAUAGUAUGUGUUCAGUUUAAGAAAUAGUCAAUAUUCAGUUUAAUAAAUAGUUAGUGUUCAAUUUAAGAAAUAGUGGUAGUACCGAUGUUCAGUUCAAAAAAUAGUCAGUGUUCAGUUUAAGAAAUAGUUAGUGUUCCGUUUAAGAAAUAGUGGCAGUACCAUGUUCAGUUUAAGAAAUAGUCGGUGUUCAGUUUAAGAAAUAAUGAUAGUACCAUCUUCAGUUUAAGAAAUAAUUGGUGUUUAGUUUAAGAAAUAGUUAAUAUUUCAUUUAAGAAAUAGUCAGUGUUCUGUUUAAGAAAUAGUAUGUGUUUAUUUAAGAAAUAGUCAGUGUUUAAUUUAAGAAAUAGUUAAUAUUUCGUUUAAGAAAUAGUGAUAGUACCAGUGUUCAUUUAAGAAAUAGUCAAUAUUUAUUAAGAAAUAGUUUGUGUUUAUUUAAGAAAUAGUCAGUGUUCAAUUUAUGAAAUAGUCAGCGUUCAGUUUAAUAAAUAGUCAACUUUCAGUUUAAGAAAGAAUGAUAGUACUCAUAUUCAAUUCGAGAAAUAGGUAGUGUUUAGUUUAAUACAUAAUGCUAUUACCAAUGUUCAUUUGAAUACAUAUUCAAUAUUCAAUUGUAUAAAUAAUUCACAUUUGUAAGUUUACAACUCCUCCCUUUAAAAACCUGCCAACUUUCUCUGCAUGCCCAAUCUCUCUCCCGCUCAACCCUAAAGAAACCUAAAAGUUGGAUUUUUAUACUCUCUACAUGUUUGCUUAAAGAGAAGCUGAAGGGAGACAAAAAACAGCAAUUUUGGAUCUACAAAAGCCAUGUUCAUCAAGUCAUUGGCCUUCUUUUGAUCUUCUUGGGCAUCUCCGACUUACGCGACAAUGUCCAUCUGCAUAUCCUCCAAGUUCCUGCUUGGUCAAUGAUCCAUUGGAAUCUUUACAAAGAGCAAUGAACAUGUCUACACAAAGCACGAGGUUGCAAUCAGCAAUAGAAUUACAGUAGUCUUAAAGUUUUCAAUUAUAAUCACCACAUUUAUUUUGAGAUAGAGAGUACAGAUUACAUACUGAGCCUAGGACUUUAACAAUGGCAAAUUCUUGUAUUGGGAAUAUAUAUCUAGAACACAAUAAUGAAUCCGAAACUCAAGAAUGAGAAGCGAAAUCAAGACAAGGUAAUGGCAAUCAAGCCAAAGCCAAGACCAGAUAAUCAUCUCACUCUAGAAUGGAAUCCUCAUACUACACUUUAACUGCAGCAUAAAUAAGCCACAUGUAGAAGAAAAUCCAUUUAAACAACAGAAAAAGAGGAAUGGCAAUGGAAUGAAAGUUUAGAUCUGAAAAGUACCCACCACAUAUGCGCUGGGUGGAUGUCAAAAGAGAACCAGUUUUCAACUUGCUCAUUGUCAGUGACUUCUUCCUCACUUUUCCUAAUAUCGAAUAAAGUUCAGGACAUAUAGUCAGCAGAAGAUCAGAGUUCACUGGGUGUUUCAAUUGCUUUGCAGAAAAUAUACCUAAUGAAGAUGAUGCAAUUAAACACAAAAAAAAAAUACAAAAAAUCAAUCACCCAUCUCCUCUCACUGAAAAUCUGGUCGUCUCCUCCGCGAACCCCAAUUCCACCACAUCCACUGCACAUUGGCAUCUGAAAGAGACACACUCACCAAAAGGGGCCUGCCUUUCUUUCAAGUGGAAGCGGGAAACGUCGAUGAGAACGGAGUGAAUAAAUAGCUUGACUGUGAGAGAUCCACAACAUAUUGCAAAUUCGAAUCCUUCUCUCCUGCCAUCGAUCCUCCAGAGGGUCCUAAUUUCUUCUUCCGCUGCUUUCCUGAGGGAGAAGUGAGCAAGAAGCGGAAGGCCUCGUCUUCCUCCAUGGCUUCUGCCGCCGUUGCUUCUCCGGUGGUGAACAUUAAUGGCGUUGGAGGGAUGAUGAAUUUUAGUAACUGCAACUUUGGCUAACGGGCCUGGGUUAGGCUCCGUUAGGGGCAAUUUUGGAAUAGUAAUUGUUAUGCGAUUUGGGCUUUUUGUUGUGCCCGUGUGUUUUAGUUUUUGUAGGGCCUGAGAUAAAAGUUUUGUGUCCUUACGAUUAAAAUUUAAGCCAUUUUUAUUAAAUAAUACUUUAGGGUGGUUUUUCAUUAAAAAAAAGUUAGUCCAAGCCCUUUUCAUUAAAGCUCCCUUUAUUUUAAUGCAUUUAUCAACUCAAUCCACAUGGCUAAAUAUCAUUGGCGGUAAGACAAUGAAUAAGUAAAGGUAAUGCUAAUGAGAUUAAAUUUUAGAUAAAGUUUUGAAAACUAAAGAACAUGGAAGUUGAUGAUUGGUUUAUUAGGGUUUAGUUUGCAAAUUACUUAAAUGAUAAUAAACGUGCUUAUUUCUAUUGAUGACACGUUAUUUAGUAUUGCAAAUUUAAUUUUUCUAGUAUUACCCAUAAGUAAAUAGACAGAGGACGAAAUUGGUGAAUUAAAAAUAUGAAAGACCCGACUAAUGACUUUACAAUAUGGUAGUUGGGACUUGGGGGUGGGGAAUUCAAACUUAGUAUAGAAAUUUUGGGUUUGGUUUUUAUAAACGGAAUUGUUAUUGGCACUCUAAAUUUUUUAUUUUGCGCUUCCCGUCGAUGAUAAGCUCGCGACCCCCCCCCCGGGCGACGGUUGCAGGUAUUUGGGUUGUGGUUUUGCAGGUAGUGGGUUGCGGGUUGUGGUUUUGCAGGUAGUGGGUUGCAGGUAUUUGGGUUGCAGGGGUUUCUAAGAAAACUAGUGAAAAAAAAGCAGAUAAGUGAUUAAAGGUGGGGGCUUUGAGGUGGGAGAGGUGGAGGGGGAUAUGGGUUUUGGGAGAAGGAGACGCGUGGAGGCAGAGGGUGGCGGGGGAAGAGGCGGGAGAUGGGUGGAAUUCGAAGUUCAAACCCUAGAGAAGGAGAGGGAAUGAAGGAAUUGAAAAAAGGGUGUCAGGAAGUGUGUUGGGGUUGGUGUGGAGGAAGAAGAAGAGUGGGAGAGAUGGGUAAGGGGGUGGGGGUGAGAUGUGGGGUUGUGGGGAAGGGGAUCUGGGUUCGGGUUUUCUGGUUUUUUUUUAUUUUUUUUAUUUUUUUUAAGGGUUAAUAUUAUAAUAUUGUUAAUGUAUAAAUUUUUUUUUUUGCCAUGUGGCAGCCACAUCAGCACAAAUGUGGCAGCCACGUUAGCAUUUAACAAACCAUUAGAUGGAAAAUCUAACGGAUGUGUUGUUUUGAAAUAAAAUAGUACGUGAGGUAUGAAAGUGAAAUGUUUUAAAGAUGUUGUAUGAGGUUGUAAUAGACCUCAAACCUGAGGGGUUUCUAUAUAAUUUACUCUAAAUUUUUUAUAAUCAGAAAGAAAAAUAUGCAUGAGAGCAUUGAGAUGUGCAAAAUAAAAUUUUUAGAAUGCAAAUAAUAGUUUUCUUUAUAAAUUAGAAUUAAACUUAUAUAGUAAGAUGAAAAUUAAUCCAAUAAGAAUUCAAUUGUUGAGUCUUGAGUGUGAUAUGUAAGUCUCAUGAGUUUGAUUCCUAUAAAAUGGCAAGCUUUUUUCUAUUAAACUCACACUACAAUAACAACAACAUUUUAGAUUUCAAACUUAGACAACAUGUUCCAGUGCUUCUAAUACAUGAGAACCAAUUUACAUAAACCACUAUUAUGGGUUAUAAUUUGUCAUUCUUUAUGUUCUAUACAUUCAAAUUUCUUUUAUAACAGACAAUAUCGUACAUAAUUUAUGACAAAAUCUGACAUCAACAGCUGAAUCACUUUCUCACCUAUGAAGUUGAAGUCGUUUGGUUGCAAAACAUUGUCGCCAUGUCAAAUUAUAGUUGAGAUAAGAUUUUACCCGUUUUUAAUUGCGGAACAAAUAGGGAAAACAAUAUCUUCAUGCUCUCAAAGUCCAAUUUAGAGGGGUUUUUUUUUUUUUUUGUCAAAUGAUAGAUUUGUUCGAGUCGACAGGGUUUGAAAUCACGCCUUACUGUAAGAACAACACUCAUUUUUAUCGCUGUGGUAGAGAGCCACUUAGCUCUGAGAGAGUUUUUUGAGUUGGCCAUUUUAUAAUUUUGUUGGCCUAUCUUAUUUGGGAGGAAAUGACAAAUAUUACCAGAGCCUGGUUUUGUCAGCCAACUCAACUCAAUCUAAGUCAAGGCACUGAAACAACGCUCUUCUUCUAUAUGAGCUUGCUCCUCCUGACCACUUUAAGUAACCGUCUCUGAAAUCUUCCUAUGCACAAUUAUUUUUUUUAAAGAGAGAUAUUUUAUUCAGUGAAUAAAAAGGCAUACUAUUAUAUUUAUAUUAUGAAAAACUCGGUCCCAAAUGAGAUAUUAAAAAUAUUAUAAUAAAGUAUUAUUAAAUGUAAAAUAAUGAAUAAACUUCAAGUACUCGUUUGAGCUUAUCGAGAACUGUAAAAUUACAUAGAUCAAUAAAAUCAUUAACCCUUGUUUAAAAUAGAACAAAAAUAUCAAAUCAUAUAUUGAGACAUGAAGUUCGAUGUCCAUAGGUCUAAUUGCAUCAUCUAAUCACUGCCCCCCAAUCCUAUUAUACCAAUUGAAGUAGAUUCAGCAAAUCAAACAGCUCCACACUUCACAUAUAGAUUCAAAAGAGAUGUAGCAUACCAAAACGAAAAUUAAAAUCAAGCAACUCUCCUAUAGAGAGAAAUCAAACUAGCAAACUCUCUUAAAUAGAGAAAUCAAAACCAAACUCCAAGACAAUUCUUAUAAAUUAUUAAACAGAAACCGCUCCAUAUCCUCUGGACAUUCGAGAGCCAUAUUUGGCUAAACCCAUAGUAUCGUACUAGCUAAACCCGAUAUUGACACUCUAUGACAUCUUAUAUUGAACGUGAUAAUUGGAUCUGAAACUUUGUUUUACUAUGUGCAUAAGUCAAAGGACGACGACUAUCACAUCGACAAUUCUACACUAAACAAAGUAAACAAAAAAAAGUAGAGAGGGAAGAGACUAGAAAUGAUUGUUAAGAUGAUUGUCGCCGACUCCAAAACCAAAUGUAAGGGCCAUCGGCAAAGAGUUUUUCUUUGAUUUUUGCUCUAGACGGCUAUUGUGUACACAAUUAUUUAAAAACACAAGAAAUUAUGUAGUAACUUAUUUAUCAAAAAUCAACUUAAUUACAAACUAAUGAACAAUUUAACUUGACAGAUAGAAUGACAUGUCAUGCUAAUUACGAUACUAAUAUCCAUGUAUUUGUUUGAUAACGUUCUGCACUAUUGUCGGUGAAAUAUUUGAUCAAUUGCUAUUUAAUGACUUGCAGCUGUACAUCAAUUACUGUAAGACCGAUUUAUAAAAUAAAAUUCUACGUAGUUUCUUUAAUAAACGAUACUAUCUACAUUAAAGAGAUGAAAGAAUAAACUAAGUUUCACAAUUGACUAGUAAUAAUGUAGUUCAUAUUCGCUUUUGAUAUUCGAACGCAAAACCUCUCACUUACAAAUAAAAGUAAAUAUUACUAAAUCGUAGUACUAAAUAACUAUCUUUGCAUACGUGUUAGCAUCACGGUUUUUCCAAAGGGUCAGUUUUUGAGGUUGGAGGAAUCUGACGCACCGCCUCAGCCACAACCAUCAAACUGGACAUGGCCAGAAAGCCACCACGCCCUCCUCCCCGUUGCCACCAACCACCCACCCCACACCACCCAAGGACGUGCUCGACCACCAUUUUUAGGCCUGCCAAAAGGAAAAGCCCAUGUCAACCUCAAAACUGGAAGCCCAUAUGAAAAGCCCAUAAAUGCAAUAAAAUAUAAAAAGAGAGGUAAAAACCCAAGAAAUACACAUCUUUUAAGCAGUUGCACGAAUUUAGCGUGCCAAUAACAGAUAAUGUGAACAAAAUAAAUUAUUUAAAAACAAAUAACAUUACAAACGCGUCUAAUUCUUUUCUUAUUUUAAAAUUUUAAAAUAAUAAUUUAAUCUAGAAUUUUCACCUUUUAAUUUUUAUUUUAUUUAAAAACUGAAAGUAAUUAAAAAAAUAGAUUUAAAUAGAAUAAAAUAAAAUAGUUAUCGAAUAGCUCAUAAAGUAAAUUACCGAAUUGUUUGACAUAUCAAAGUAGGUAUUCUAUAUUGACUAGAAUUAUAUUAUAUGUGUAGACAUGUAGACUGUCUAUUUGAAAAAAGGUUGUAGGCUAUUUGAGCUCGUCUGAGGUAUUUCUUUUUUGUUACUUUGAACACUGAAUUUCUAACUUAAACUUACUCAUUAUCCUAUGCAUCAUUCUCUCUCACGAGAGAUUUUUAGUGUGCUGAAAAUACAAUCCAGUAUAUUAUGUGUAAUAAUAUAAUUUAUUGGAAACUUAAAAAAAAAAUUCUAACCAAUUGUUUUGUUACACUUUGUGUACUGAACCGUGUUUCCGGCAUACUGAAUUUUUUUUCCUCCCCACCUCCCAAGAUAACCCAAUGACUUCGACUAUUCAAUCUUUUUGACGGUCAAAACCGAACCAAACUAUUCAUUACAAUUUGAAUGGGCCGAUAUGUUUUCUAAUUUUGUUUAGUACAAUGAUAGCACUAGUAGGUUCAAUACUUAAUUGUUCAAGAAAAUUGAAAUUACUAAAAAUCAAACUCGGAUCAAAAUAUUAAAAAUAUUAUUUUUUACCAUUAUAAUAAAAUGGUCAUCAUUUGUCCUCUUUGAUUAUGAGAAAUUCACCAAAAAAAAAAAGGAAAGUAGAUGAUAGACCGCAAAACUUUAUCACCAACCCCAAAAUUAUAGGGAUGGUUCGGGUCGGAAUCCCGAACCGAAACAUAAAUCCCGAAUCCUAAACGAUCAUUUUCGAGAUGGGAUUCCAAAACCCGAAACCAAACCAAACUUUCGGUAUUCCCGAAUUUCAGGAUUCCCGAAGUUGUUUCGGUUUUUCGGUGGAUCGGGAAUGAAUGUGGUCAGCAAAUAUUAACCUAAUUUAGAAAGAUCGUAUGAAUGCAUCCCCAAAUUGAAAGUUCAAAACCCUAAUUCACAAUUUCAGAAUCCAAAUCCAAAUCAAGGGACAAUAUUUUCGUGAAUCGUGGUACCGUUCAGAUCAAAGAAGUUUUGAUUGGAGGUCACAAUGGGAGAUGGAGGUGGAACUGUGGAAGUCUGGAUCCAUAAUAUGGAGGAGUCAUAGAGGUGUGGUGGUCGAUGACUUGACAUCUAAUGUGUUGAGUCCGUUAGGAAGGGGGAGGAGAGUAGAGAGUGCAGAGAUGAUUCAAGAGAUAUGAGAGAGUGUUGAGUGUUAACAGAGCGGAGGAGGAAAAGAGAGAGUGCAGAGAGAUUCAAGAGGUCUGUGUGAGACAGAUAGCGUGCAUACCUAAUUUGAGCGAUUAGAGAGAGAGUGAGCUUUCUACGAUUGAGAUUUAAUAAACCGAAUCCAACGCUUAUUUAUGCUAAUAAAUAUAUAUUAUGUAUCGGUUUGGGAUUAUCGAACAUCUUGACAACUAGGUCCCAAUUCCCAUACCGAAAUGUUCGGAUUUUUUUGAUAUGGGUUACCAAACUUUUCGAGAUUUUUUAUUUCGGGAUUUUUCGGUUGGGGGGGGGGUCUGUGAAAUUUUCAGUCGGGCUCGGGUAAUUCAAGAUUUUUAUUCAGCCCUACCCAAAAAUGAUAAAAUAAAAUAAAAACCCCCGCUACCCUAUACGGAAAAAAUAACCGAAAUUACUGGAUUCUUUUAUUUUUUUUUUCAUCAAAAUAAAUAAAUAAAUACUGAAAAUGAGUUGAUAGUAGUACACGCAGAAAUUGAAAAGUGCUUUUUUUCCAGCAAAAUAAAUAAACAAAUACUGAAAUGAAAUGAUAGUAGUACUGUAGUACAAGCAGAAAUCGAAAAGUGCUUCCAUCUGAGAUUUCAGAUAGAUUGCUUUAACCCCAUACUCCUUUUUCACCGCUCGCUCUCUCUCUCUCUCUCUCGCUCUCUAAAGCUCUACUGGACUUUGUCGUCUUCGUCUGCUAUCCUCCCCCUCUUCCAGCCCCCACUCUCUAUUGCGCGCGCGCUAUCUCUUUCCUCCUAUUAGGGUUUCUCAGCUUCCCAGCUCAGGUGAAUUUCGCUACUUACUUUCACACAUCGCGAUUCUUGAUCUCUGUUCUGAUCACCGAUUGGUUUUACACCAGUUUCUUAAACUUAUUACUGUCUCUUACGAACUGGUGCUUUUCAGCAUUGAUUGGGGCUGUAUUCUUGGUGAAUUUUCGCAUUUGGAGUUCGAUUUCGGAGAGUUGAAUCUUGAGGUUUGAUUGAUUGUUGUGAAAUCGUGGGGAAUUUCACUGUUUGGGGAAUCUCGUAUUCAAUUCGCUGUCUAACAGAGCAUUUAGGGUUUAUUAUUCUUUGGCUUUGAAUUUGAUUGAACUAGUUGAUUUAGGGUUUCUGAUGAGUCUUUGGUUUUUGCAUUUGCGAAUUAGACUCUGGCAGGAUGAACGACCGUAAGACCAUCGAUUUAGAACAAGGAUGGGAGAUCAUGCAGAAGGGGAUCACAAAGCUGAAGAACAUUCUAGAAGGGUUGCCUGAGCCGCAGUUCAUCUCUGAUGACUACAUGUUGCUCUACACGUAUUUCUUUCUAACUUUUAAUCUUUAUGAUUGUCAUUGGCUGUUGUAUGCUCCAAAGAUUAAUGUUGCUGAUUGUGUUUUGUUGUUCUUAAUUUUAUUCGCAGAACCAUAUACAAUAUGUGCACUCAAAAGCCACCACAUGACUAUUCACAGCAGCUCUAUGACAAGUACAGGGAAUCUUUUGAAGAGUACAUUACUUCGACGGUGAGGAAGCAUUUAGCUAUUAUUUAUUUUUUCAUUUUCCUAGUCCCAGUACUUACUGUGAUUGUUUACAAUGUCACAAACUGUUUUUUAUUAAGCUAAAGUUAGAAUCUUGAUGCUCUCACUAUCUAACAUCGCCUAUAGACCUAUUAGAACUCAAUGUACAUUGAUAUGAUAUUCAUUGUGGCAUGUGUAGUCAGGGAUAAUUCAACGCUCCCCAAUCCCCAAAUUGUUGUUUGAGGAUUUUUUUUUUGCUUACGAAUGCUCUUUCUGAUGCUGAGUUUAAUUUUAUAUGCUUAUGUCAGGUUUUGCCAUCUUUGAGAGAGAAGCAUGAUGAGUUCAUGUUGAGAGAGCUUGUGAAAAGGUGGACCAACCAUAAAAUUAUGGUCAGGUGGCUCUCUCGUUUCUUUCAUUAUCUUGAUCGCUACUUUAUAGCUCGGAGAUCACUUCCACCCUUAAAUGAAGUUGGACUUACUUGCUUCCGAGAUCUCGUAAGUUGCGCUGGAACCCUUAUGUGGCAUCUUAAACCACGUUGUUUGAAGAAUUCUUUUGAUUGCCUCUUGAACCAUAGCCCAAACUGACUUCCAUACCAUUUUUACGUUUUUUUCAUAUACAAUUGCUUCUCAUCCCUCACCCGAACCGAUUUCAUGGUAGAAUUUGUAUGAAAAUGUCUUCCAUCAUAAUCCCUUCACAUCUUCAGCUGAUUUUUGUGAGUAACAGAUUGUAAUAUGGUGGGCAAUAUAUCAUUGUGAUUUUCAGGUCUACCAAGAUUUGAAAGCAAAAGUAAGAGAUGCUGUAAUAUCUCUGGUAUGUUUCCGUUUUACCUGAACCACAUGUUCUAGUAUUUAAGUUGAAAUAAAUUUACUUGACGUUUUAUGAAACAGAUUGAUCAAGAACGUGAAGGAGAGUAGAUUGGUUGAGCUCUGUUGAUGUUCUAGUAUUUAAGUUGAAAUAAAUUUACUUGAUGUUUUACGAAACAGAUUGAUCAAGAACGUGAAGGAGAGCAGAUUGAUCGAGCUCUGUUGAAGAAUGUUCUGGAUAUAUUUGUUGAGAUUGGAAUGGGACAAAUGGAUCACUAUGAAAAUGACUUUGAAGAAGACAUGCUUAAAGGCACCGCUGCCUAUUAUUCUCGAAAAGCUUCCAACUGGAUCUUAGAAGAUUCUUGUCCAGAUUAUAUGCUAAAAGUAAACUCCAUUAUGCUUGUCUUUGUUGUUUUAACUGUAUAUUAUACACUUAUAUGACACAAUUUCGAUGAACAUAAUUUUUGUGUGAAAUUCCAGGCAGAGGAAUGUUUAAAACGGGAGAAAGAUAGAGUUUCUCACUACUUGCACUCUAGUAGUGAGCCAAAGCUGCUUGAGGUGUGUAUUUGAUUAUUUCUAUGACUUUACCGUGUAUGCAUAGAUAUUCCUAUGGAAUGUAAGUCUAGGUAAGUUAAGUCGGGAUGCAAAUAUCUGUAGAAUUUGAAAUCUGGCUGUUAAUGUUGUUAUUAUUUUCUUAAUUGUAGAAAGUUCAACAUGAGCUGUUGUCUGUUUAUGCAACACAAUUACUUGAGAAAGAGCACUCGGGAUGCCAUGCAUUGCUUCGAGAUGACAAGGUACCUUCGGAGAAUGUUAAAAUCUACAAUUUUGUCCAUUGGAUAGAUGAAACGCAUGAGGGAGUAAAUGCGAAGCAUAACCUUUGGCGGAAGUGCUCUAAGGGUGCGUUUGUUGCACCGCUGGACUAGCGUCAUGGACUAUGUUGGAUUGGCUUAGAUUGGACUAUGUUGGACUGACUUAGUGAAGUGUUUGGUGCAAUACCAGACUAAAAAGCAGGAUAAGAAAAAUAGUUAUUAUUUUAAGUAAAGAGUAGUGCAUCUAUCUGCAGAACCCAUUCAGAAACAAACCAAUUCAUACAAAUAAGAAAGCACACAAACAUUUUUUCAUAAUUUUUCAACUUAGGUAAGAUCGUCAUCCUCAAGUUCCUUGGACUUCAACUUUUCCUUCACUCUCAGCAAAGGUUGUUUGCCAUGGAUCCAGUGGGGCCAUGCUAUCAAAUUCCUUGACCAAAUUCCUUGACCACGUCAAUGAACUUUGCAGUGUCUUCCACAUCAACUGAAGCGGCAAUACACUUUAUUAAAAGUUGGAUGUAUAAUCCCUUGUACCUGAAUAAGUAGGAUCUAACUCAAAUCACAACUCCCAAAUUCAACAAAUUCCAGAACUUCCAAAUCACAAAACAUAGAAUUCCCAAAUCACGAAACAUAGAACUCCCAAAUCACUCAAAAAUUUAAAUUCAUAACUCAAAAAUUAAAACCCAGAAUCCUCCAUUUCAAAAAACCCAAAAUCAAUUCAAAAACCUAGAACCAAUCUAAAAACCCCCAGAAUCCUGCACUUGAAAAAAACCCAAAAUCCAAUAAAAAAACUCAAAAUCAUCCAUUUCAAAAUGUCCAAAAUCCAAUUCAAAAAACCUAAAAUCCUCCAUGCCAAUCGAUCUUUGCAAAUUGAAAUGGCCAUCUCUGCAAAUCCAAAAAACCAUUAAUUAGAAGCAAAAAUUGAGAUGACAAUUGAGUUGGAGAGAGAGAGAGAUUACGUGGACAAAGAAUCGGAGAUGACGAAGACUCCGCGGGAGUGGUCGGAGAUGAAGUAGAUGCGGCGGGAGUGGGUGGAGAUGACAAGUCGUCUUUGUUGUAGAUGAAGCAGUCAAGCAGGGCUGGGAUGCUAGAGAGAGAGGAGGUCUUAGCUCGAUUGCGAUAUGAGAGAGAGGGGGUCUUAGCAGUCCCAUGGUGUUCAAGGGCUCUAGCUAAAGAUAGUUUAGCGAAGGCGUUAGUGUAGGCAAGUGAAAUUUAGUCUCAUUAACGUUAGUCUGUGUGUAUAACAAACAUGGGAUUACACUAAAAUUUAGUCUAGUCUAAUCCAGUGAACCUUAACAAAGGUAAACAAACGCACCCUAAAGUUCUUCGCCUAAGUAAGUUAGAGGUAGAGUACGUGGGAAGGGGGUCCAAGUGAGAGGGGUGAGGAUUGGAGAUCAAGAAGUACCAAAGAGCUAUCUUGGAUCUAUCUUGCAAAAGAAUGGAGAAUUGGAUGGAGCUCUCAACCAUAAAUACAAGAUGGAUGGAUGAAACGGAGGAGUGCAUUGUCUGUGUUAUGCAACCGUUGUAUGCCACUAAAACUCAAGGGGAAAUUUUAUAAGAUGACAAUAAAGCCAAAAUGUUUUAUGGCAUGGAAUGUUGGAUGGUCGAGCAUCUAACACGUGCAAAAAAUGAGUGUAGCUGAAAUGGGAAUGUUUCGUUUGAUGUUUGGCAACACUAGAAAGGACAUGAUUAAGAACGAGGAUAUUCGAGGUAAAGUAGGAGUGGCCACAAUUGAAGAUAAAAUGAGAAAAUCGGUUAAGGUAGUUUGGGAGUUUGAAACGAAGACCCACAGAUGCUCCGGUUAGAAAAUACGAUUAUGGGACAGAGGUUGAGGGUGAAAGGGGUAGAGGAAGACCUAGGAAGACUUGGAAAAAAACUUUACGAAAAAACAUGGAGUACUUGGAGCUACCAGAAGACUUGACACGAAACCGAGUGCAAUGGUGUUUUAGGAUUCAUACAGCCGACCCCGGGUGGGAUAAGGCUGUGUUGUUGUUGUUGUAUAGAAGGAAUCCUGAAAGAAAACUAGACGAAUGUUGUAUCUUAUCAUUUUUCUUUUCUCUGUUGAAGGUGGAUGAUCUGUCUAGAAUGUUCAGGCUAUUUUCUAAGAUACCUCGGGGCUUGGAUCCUGUUUCUCAAAUAUUCAAGCAGGUUAGCUGUCUUCCUUUAUUUUUUCUGGGUUAAAGGUGAUCUGGUAUGUAGCAUAUUAGCGUAUAUAUCUUUCCAUUUCUGUUUUUUUUUAUUAUGCUUUUAAUAUUUCAUGGUGUCCCGUGAUGCAGCAUGUUACUUCUGAAGGAACAGCCUUGGUCAAACAGGCAGAAGAUGCAGCAAGCAACAAGAAGGUAUAUGCCUUGACCAUCUCUAUUAUUUUAUAUAUUCAUGGCUGCUGAGAAGGUUUUCUACUGAAUACCGUCUACUGGUCGGACUUUGUUUGAAAUUCUAAAUUAGAGACUCCCAUAGUCCCAUGGGGGAAAAUAAUAUAGCCAUAGAAAGUAGAUUCAAAUGAAAGCCAAAAUAGAUUCAAAUGAAAAACCAAACUCUUGCCAUUUGGGGGGGGAGGGGGGGGGGAAUAAUGUAUCCUCUUGACCAAAAUUUUAGAUCUUUACAAUCUUCAUUAAAUUUUUUUUUAACUUCUAUUAUUUAUGGUAAUUUAAAAAAUUUCCUAUCCACAAGGAUUGGAAGCUCCAUUGCACCAUUAAUAGAUUCAUUAAAUCUGCAUAGAGGGGAUGAUAUGAUAUGAUAUGUUAUAUACUGUAAAGAAGAAAGGAUUGCUCAUAUUUUUCCAAAGAGUGUCCUGUUUGUUGACUUUUCUUGUUUCCCAUAUCUAACUAGACAGCUGUUUGGUGAUGUCAGUUUUGAUUUAUCAGUAGUCCCGUGAUCACUUCCUUUGAUUCAGAUUGUUUGUUCAUGUAAUGGUAUUCGACAAGUAAUUAUAUGCGAACGCUGACUUUUUUGUUCCCCCACAGGCAGAGAAAAAGGAUGUGGUUGGUUUGCAGGAACAGGUAAUUUCAUGAACAUUGCACAUGUGGAACUUUUGAGUUGCUUGAGCGACAACUAAUAUGACUGCUUUUCAGGUUUUUGUUAGAAAAGUGAUUGAGCUGCAUGAUAAGUACAUAGCAUACGUCAAUGAAUGUUUCCAAAACCAUACUCUUUUCCACAAGGUUUGUAUUUUAACAGGGCUUUAAGAUUCUUAUUGUUGCCACCAAUUAUUUCUGCAUAACUGAUAGUUUAUUUGUGCAUCUGUAGGCCCUAAAAGAGGCUUUUGAGAUCUUUUGCAACAAGGGUGUUGCUGGAAGCUCUAGUGCGGAACUACUUGCCACUUUUUGUGAUAACAUUCUUAAGAAGGGUGGGAGUGAAAAGUUGAGCGAUGAAGCCAUUGAGGAGACACUUGAGAAGGUCUGAACUCUUGAUGUACCAUUCCAUUUAUUUACCUUCCAUGGACAUUUUACUUUUUUCUUACUCUGGUAGAAAAAUUCAGUAAAUAAAGGCCAUUCAAACCGCAGGUGGUAAAGUUGCUGGCUUAUAUUAGUGACAAGGACCUGUUCGCUGAGUUCUAUAGGUAUCACUUUUAUUGCUCAAACUGUUUGCUUUCAAUCUAAUGUAUUUUAGGGAAAGGUUAUAGAUGAUUAUAUAUAGUUUAAAACUAGAAGGCAUUACAUUAACUAUGCUUGUUUAAUUUCUGGCAGGAAAAAGCUUGCUCGACGUCUUCUUUUUGACAAGAGUGCUAAUGAUGACCAUGAGCGAUGUAUUUUGACAAAACUGAAGCAACAAUGUGGUGGUCAGUUUACCUCAAAGAUGGAGGGAAUGGUCAGUUUUAAAAAAUCCUUCAAGAAAUGUUGCUUUUUAAUGUUCUGUACUUGCAUGCAUUUCUGGGUUACUGCUGGAGAUAUGACUAAGAAAGUAAAAAUGGUUUUUUUUUUUUGCAGGUUACUGAUUUGACAUUGGCCAAGGACAACCAAGUCGGCUUUGAGGAGUAUCUGAAAAAUAAUCCACAGGCAAAUCCUGGGAUUGAUUUGACAGUUACUGUGUUGACCACUGGCUUCUGGCCAAGCUACAAGUCUUUUGACCUCAACCUACCCCCAGAGAUGGUAUACAGAUUCUGCUGAGAAAAUCUAGUUUCAAAAUUUACUAUCUGCUGGGUUAAAAAUCUUGGGGAAGUUUCUGACUUCUUUAUUUUUCACUCUUGCUUUAGGUUAAGUGUGUAGAACUUUUCAGGGAAUUCUAUCAAACAAAGACAAAACACAGAAAACUUACAUGGAUGUACUCACUGGGUACCUGUAACAUCAUUGGGAAAUUUGAACCAAAAACUAUAGAGCUUAUUGUGACGACUUAUCAGGUGAUGUAUUUAAUAUAUUAAUUGAACUUUCCUAAUCUGUGAUCUAUUGUUCAUAUUUUUUGUCUAGCUUGUGAGAUGCUGAUCUAUUAGAGAUUUAUUUAUUUAUAAGACUGAUUUUUCUGUAUCUUACUUUAGGCUUCAGCCCUGCUGCUAUUCAAUACCUCAGAUAGACUGAGUUACUCGGAGAUUAUGACUCAGUUAAACUUGACUGAUGAUGAUGUUGUCAGACUACUCCAUUCCUUGUCAUGUGCCAAGUAUAAGAUCCUUAAUAAGGAACCAAACACAAAAACUAUCUCUCCUACUGAUUACUUUGAGUUCAACGCUAAGUUUACUGACAAAAUGAGGAGGAUCAAGGUACUUGGAUCUUUAGGUGGUAUCUUGUCUUUUGUCUUCUAAUUUUGUGUUCAUGUGAGUGAUCAGUCAACUUAUCACUGUGAUCAUCAUGCAGAUUCCACUCCCACCGGUGGACGAGAAGAAGAAAGUAAUUGAAGAUGUUGACAAGGACAGACGGUAUGCCAUCGAUGCAUCAAUUGUGCGUAUUAUGAAGAGCCGUAAAGUUUUGGGUCAUCAGCAGUUGGUUAUGGAGUGUGUAGAGCAGCUAGGUCGCAUGUUCAAGGUUAGUGUAGUGCUUUUUUUUUUCUUCUCAUUUUAUACUAUUUUAACCCCUUUUCCUUGGUUCUGAAAGAGUGGUGUUUGUUUCCCUCCCUCCAUUGUCUCUUCUUUCAGCCCGACUUCAAAGCAAUAAAAAAGAGGAUCGAAGAUCUAAUCACAAGAGACUACUUAGAGCGGGACAAAGACAACCCUAAUUUGUUUAGGUACUUGGCUUGAUGUGGUGUAAGUUGAUCGUCCUUCAAAUGGCGUGGUAUUAGCACAAGAAGUUGGGUCAAGCGGUGGACAAAGUGGCACAAUCACUUGUAAAUGCCAUUGCACCAGUGACCAAUAGUGAUUGCUAAAAAAAGCACGAGCCGAGAAUACUCUACAUUUUGCCCUUGGAGCAAGGUAUGGAUGGCUAAUAUGGGUAGUGCACUCUUGCUGGGGAAAUCUGUUAUUGACUUCAUAAUAUGGCCCCGGCGCCCCAUGGGACCGUAUUGCAUCUUUCUUUGAUUACUGCAUUAUCUUCCAUCCCUUGACUAUACCAAUCCAUCUUUGUUACCUGUUUCUUUGCUCCACUGGAAGGAGGCGUAUUUUCGGCCCCAGCAUGUCCACUUGAAUUGCAUUUCGCCGAUCAGGUAUCAAAUUUAUCUGGUGGAUGCUUUGUCUUGAUUGCAAAACACAUGGCUUGUGAACUCUGAAUUUGUCUAUAUGAUUGCAAGAUGCUUAUGCUCUUCUGCUUCAUGAUUUGUUUGGUCGAUUUGUGUUAUUACUUUCAUAGCGAUAACACCGUUUUUGCUGGUGUCAUGGGGAAUUUCUGACCGUUGGUGGGAAUGCACUUCAAAUGCAUUAACUGUCAGAAAUUGGCCACGAAAGUAAGCGAUUGAUCGUAACAUAUCACUAAAAAGUUUGGUAUAUCAGCCCUGACAUUGGGAGGUGGGAGUAGCUUUCGGUAAGAUGUUUUGCGUUGCUGAUUAAAUAAUGUUUAAAAUUUGAGUGCUGUUUGUUACCGAGUUGAUACGGAAUCGAAUCUUAAUAGAAUAAGCAGCUGUGGGAUCAAAGUGAUGAUUAAUUAUCAUUCCAAGGCGAAGCAACGGAUCAAGUCAACAGAUUUCGGGUAUACAAGUAAUUACUCUUAAUCACUUGAACUACAAAUUUUAUGCUCGUUUGCGUUUGUAUACUAGAAUGUGGGAUUUCAAUGGGGAUUGCAAACAAAACUUUGCUUCAACUAUAAGCAUAAAAUAUGACAAAUAAUUGUUAAUUUCUCUUUAUUCUAACAAGAAAGGGGAAAGGGGAAAGGGAAAAAGUGAGAUUUUCUAGUUGGUCUAGGUCGUCAAAAUUAUAAUGGAACCAAAAAAAGAAAAAAAAGGAAGGGUGUUAUUUUUGUAGGAAGUUGAAUUCAAUAAAUUGCCAAAAGAUAGAGCUAUUCAGACAUCUAUUUUUUCUCUUACACACACCUUUGUUAAUUUAGUCAUUGAUUUUUUUAAUUUAUUCGAUACAACGGUUGAAAAUUAAGAACGGUGUGUGAUAAGUAAAAAUAAAUAUAAAUAGCAAUACCCAUGAUCAAAUGCAGAGAAAAUGGUAACGGAAUCGAAGUGAUGGGAGCAAAAUUAACGGUUCUUUCUUAAUUCAAUAAAUAAAAGAAAAUCCCAACUCAAAAAGUGCUCUCCCUACUCUCUCCUCAUGAAUGCCAAAUUGGGGUCCCCCGUCAC